UUCAAGUAAAUACAAUCCUAUAGGAAAAGUAUAACUAGCAACCAAAUCUAUCUCGGAUUUCUCAACCCAAGAAUAUCUAUAACUUACGAUAUUAUUUGUAAAACACUGCAAUUCAAAACAUGGCAUGGCCAAAACUAAGGCUCCACAAUUAUCUUUCCGGUAGCAUGGCCAUCGCUGAUCCUAUCCCAAGCGUCCUCCGCCUUGGUCAGGGGAUACUUUGAGUCAAUUAUAGUCUUCAGCUUCCCUUCUUUCACCAACUUAAUAAGAUACUCAAGGUUAUCAGCCAUGGGAAAUAAGAACAGUGGCACCAGUUGCUUCUUAGAAAAGGUAAGUUUCUUCAGUGCAACGCUAAACAGAGAGCUGGGGGUGGGAGUAACAUCUAUUACCUUACCGUUCGCACUCAAAUUAGGCUCAAAAGUUGACCAAGGAAUGCAUGUUGCACAGUGGAUCACAACAUCAUAUUUUCGACCAGAUGGACUCCUAAGAGCUGCACCUUCUGGGGUCUUGUAGUCAAUAACCUCAUCAGCCCCUAGGCUUUUGACCAGUUCAAUGUUGCGGGCACCACAAGUGGCUGUAAUAUGAGUAUUUCCGAGCUUUGCCAACUGAACCGCAUAGAGACCUACACCACCUGAAGCAGCUGUGAUCAGGAUGUUUGCUUGCUGACCACUUCCAUCAAGCUUGAUCCCUGCAGUUUGUGUAAGAGCCUGGUGAGCUGUGAGACCAGCAACGGGUAAUCCUACAGCGGUGGCUGCUGAAACUUCCGGUGGCCUUGCAACAGUUAAACUCUCCAUUGUCACGGCAAAUUCAGCUAGUCCACCUCCAGUCUUUGAUUCAUUGUCGAAGAACAGAAUGAGACAAAAGGGGACAUGGUAUGUAUCAAUGAAUGAUGCAUCAGAUAUCUAGGUGACACAUUCUGUCACUGGGUUUGCAUAUUAAGCACACCAAAAGUGGUUUUUACAUGCAAUAGUUCAGUCUCAUGCCGACUGGAAUGACACUAGGGAAAGAGGCACACAAAGUCGAUGAAGGGUUAACGAGGGUUUACAAAUACAACAAUUCAGAUUGGAACAAAUGGAUUCAACUUUUCAAAUUAGUAGAUACUUAUUCAGAUAUCAUUGAUGAAAAUAAUAGUUCUAAAUUAAGUUAAAUCCAUCUAUAUGCAUGUUUCCUAGAUGUAUGUGAAGCCUAAAAGAUGCUAUUUCCAAAACAUGAUAUGGGAGCUUAAUUCCCUUUUUCUGAAUUAUGUUAUCCUUUCAGUUAAAUUUUACUUCGCCGAAAACGAAGACUAAAUUUGAAGAAUUUCAAGUGAAACAGAGAAAAUGAGCUAGUAUAUAAGGGAACUUACAAGAGUGUUAACCUUCCCGACAACUUUGUCACCAGGUUUGAAUUUUUUUACUCCAGGUCCUACCUUUACAACCUCUCCUGCCACAUCAAUACCUGUUCCGAGUUCCACCAAUGAAUAUCUUCAGUUAAUAAAACGACUUCUCACAAAAUGCGGUCCUGUGAAAACUUCUACAUAAAACAUGUUAAGAAAUGCAUCCCACCCUUUCCCUUUGAAGAACUCGAAAAACUAUGCUAUAAUAUCGAUGUUUACGUAAGAAUCUCUCCCCGGAAAACACACAAAUUCCACUCCAGAAGUUUAUUAGAUGAAAUGAACAAGAAACAGGUGUUUAAGCAUUUAUCGAACAUUCGUACUACUUUUCAAGAAGAAGAUCAAAUAAUACAUGGAAUGAAGCAUAAUUACGUAAAGAGUUAUAAACACAAAAUGGAUCCCCUAAGUAGCAGCGUCUCAAGGCAGCCAAACCAAAUUACCAGGUAUGUACGGAAACCUGCGAGGCAACAAAGGCCAGAGCAUGCCUUUCUGAGCUUUCCAAUCAAUUGCGUUUAGACUAGUUGCCUCCAAUUUCAGCAACACCUCAUCUUUUUUCGGAUUUGGAAUCGGAACUUCAACAUGCUGCAAUAAAGGCCAAUGUCAUGACAAGAAUGUGUUCUGCAAAGUUCUUCAAAGCAACAAAGUAUCCACAUAAUAGACCAACAACUUUGUUUAACAUUUCAUAAGCAUAUACAAAUGGUAAUUUUCUCGAUAACAAAACCUAGUAACUGAGUAAAUCCCUGUUACUAUUUCUUUCAUCAUGUGAUUCAGAUAAAAACAAUAAAAGUAAAAGAUAAAACCUCUUCCUUUAUCCUUUCCUUCCCAACAUCGCAAUGACUCAAUCAAGUACUCGUAUUCCAAGUGGGAUUGCAGUUAUUAAACUGAAAAUAUGACUUCACCCCUAGAACAUAGAUUUUUUAUGUAAAACCCGACAUAAUUGUUUUACUUGAUUAAACCCCAAUAAUUAGGAUCCCCAUAAGCAUAUUCCUUAAUUAAGCUUGAAUACAAAUAUUUUACAUGUUUCCAAUGGCUAUAUUAUCCCUAAUAACAAUUGGAUUUAGACAUUUCUUUUCCUAUUCUAUAUUAUCCCUAAAUGGGUACAUUAAUGAUAUAUAAAUAGACAAACAUUAUGAAACUCAUUGAAGGCGCAAAACAAGGAGUAAAUCUUUGAUAUUGACAUGAUUGGAGAAUACUUGCAAUUUUGUAAAAUGAUUGCAACUCAUAUUAAAUUUUGGAUUUUAUUUAGAGGUUAAGAAGUGCACGGGUAUUGAACUCCCGGAAGAAAAAAAGAAAAAAUACAGGUGAGUUUACGUUUAUGAAAUAAGAGUUACAAGUCUAUAAACAACCUUUAAACCAGAAGUUCCGCCGCCAUAGUUGUCGUACUGAACAGCGUGCAUGGUCUCAUUGGCCAUAGUCUCUCAGUUGUAAGUCCAACCAACGUUCCGAAGAGCCGCAGAAACUUGAAGCUCCUCCCUCCCGGAUUCUAUCAAAUACAGAGCUUAUGCUAGUACAGCAAUAGACUCAUUAGCCCAUGUCUAUAGUGGAACAAAUAUACGCGUGAUUGAUUGAUGUUCACUGAUUGACCCUUGUCUAUUGUGGAACAAAGACACGGGAUUCAUGGGCUAUAGUGGAACAAAUAAUACGCGUUAUUCAUAAUGAUGUUGACUGAUUGACCCUUGUCUGUCGUGGAACAAAUACACGUGAUUCAUAUUGAUGUAGACAGUACAAUCAGUAUAUGGUUUACAGUACGUAUGUGGUCCACAUGUUAAAUAGACGAUCAAUAAUUACAUGGUCCCUAUGUUAAAUAGACAACACGUAAGUGGUCCAUAUGUUAAAUAUACAAUAAGUGUAUGCAGUAGCAGAACCGGGAAGAGAUGGGAAAUUCAAAAUAAUGCAAGAUUCAAUCGAAGUGGUUGCUUUUAUAUUGGAGAGUGUAAAGUUUUGAGUCAAUAUUCAUAGUAGAAAAUAGUCUCUCCACUAAAACGGUUGUAAACGGUAAUAUCAAAACCAAUGUAAUAAGCUUAAAUUGGCUAGGUUUAUAUUCUAAAAAUAGACGCUAGUCAAACAGCGGACUGGAACUUAGUAGCUAGGCGCCUAAGACAGAUCUAGGCAUGAGCCUAGUGGGAUUUAAACGAAUUUCUUUUAUCAUAAAAUAAGCAUUAAGUUGUAGGCCUAUUUGAUUGAACGAUCUAGGGUUUAGAAAGAGAGAAGGAGCCGACUAUAUUAGGAGAAGAGAGAGUGAUUUAAUCGUGAGGUGUGUUUGAUUCACACAAUUGUGCCUUUAUUUAUAGUAGUAGGAUAGGUAAAAACAUUUUCCUUUAGGAUUACAAUAUUUAAUAGGUAAUCAACCCCUGAUAUAAAUAUAAGAUACAUUCCCAGAUUCCCUAAGAUUUACACAAUCACAUUCCUAUUCUAAAUAUGACUGCAACACUUUCCCUUGUAGCUAACGGGGGGAAUACGUCUCCUCGUAAUCACUCCCAAGGCGCUGAGAGAAGCCUUGCACUACGAGGUGUGCUUUGUAUCGUACUAUUUCAUUCUUCUCAUUACGCUUCCUCACGAAAACCCACUUAUAGCCAACGGGUUUCACGAGUUGUGGUGUAGGAACGAUAGGUCCAAAUACCUUACGUUUCGCGAGCGAAUCGAGUUCAACCUGGAUUACUUGUUUCCAGUUUGACCAAUCAGUUCUACGUCGGCAUUCAUCCAUCGACGGAACGUGGUUCAAUGUCAUCACUAAGCAUGAUGUUAGUAGCUACUGAAUACGCGAAUGCAUCGUCGACGAUCAUUUCAUUCCUAUUCCAAACCUUAUCUAAUAUUGCGUAAUGGACCGAAAUCUCGUGAUUCUCAAGAGGCCGGCAUGUUUCGUCUGAAGCAUCGCCGUAAUCUAGAAUAACCUCAUGCGUUGGAUCAGAUGAGUGAGCGAUGGUCGGAUUCAAACUAGGGUCACUAGUUGGUGCCAUUUUCCUCUUCCAAGGUUGUGAAUCCUUUGAACCAAGGGGUCUGCCACGCUUCAGGAUAGAAGCAAAUGAUUGGCUAGCUGCCAAUGUACCGUACCGCGUGGAAGGUGCGGCCUCCCUACCUUCGGGGACGGUCCGGCCUUCCCAGGCAGGUUGUUGACGUACACAGGGUACAUCUAUCCUUGCAGGUAUGUUUGCAGCGAGUAUAUGUGAUAUUGUCACCUUUGCUAGAUCAUUAAAAGCAUCCAGCAUACUUUGAGCAAUGCUCUGAAAAUCUAUAAUUCGUCGCACCUCAAUUUCAGAUUGGGCAGUGCGGGGAUCUAAAUGAGACAUAGUGGGAGCAUACCACGACAAUUUGUGGCGUUCUACGAGAACGUUAGCAUGCUUAUCUCCCCCUAAUGACCGGAAGACUGUCUCAUCAAAGUGACAAUUUGCAAAACAUGUGGUAAAGAGAUCUCUUGUCAAUGGUUCAAUGUCAUCACUAAUCAUAACCGACAUAGAUUCCCAUUUUUCUCUGAGGACCCAUUUUGGUACGUAGUGACGGUGCUAUUGGCACAUAAAUGGCGCACCCAAACACCUAUAAAUGCAAGACGUCAGGCUCGUAUCCAGUGACCAACUGUAACAGUGAAUAUGGUUGAGUAGCGGUGGGCCUUAGGCGGAUCAACAUAGCUACGUGCAAUAUUGCAUAGCCCCAGGCAGAUACUAGCAGUUUGGUUCUCAUAACCAAAAUCUGAGAUAUCAAUUAAAUGCGCUUUAUGAAAGCUUAUGCCAGGCCGUUUUGGAUGUGAACAUACGGUACAGGAUGUUCCACAUCAAUCCCUAAUGACAUGCAAUAAUCGUCAAACAUCUGUGACAUAAACUCUCUAAUGUUAUCCAGUCGAAUCAACUUAAUCGGAUAAUCAGGGUGGUGAGCCCUUAGCUUAAUGAUUUGAGCUAGGAGUUUAGCAAACGCGGUGUUGCGUGUGGACAACAAGCAAACAUGUGACCAUCUUGUCGAUGCAUCAACCAACACCAUAAAUUAUCUAAAUGGUCCACAUGUUGGUUGGAUAUGUCCACAAAUGUCCCCUUGAAUCCUCUAAAGAAACUUAGGGAGGUCGUGAAUAAUCCUUUUGUAUAUAAGGGUUAAGUAUUUAACUUCCCUAAAGAGCACGCUUUGCAUGGCGGGAGUCCAGCAUAUGGAUGUAACUUAUGCCCCGUGUGCAGAUUUGAGGAUACGGCACAUCAUAUCACAUCCAGGAUGUCCCAAACGGUCAUGUCAAAGCAACAAAGUGUCCUAGAACUCAGGCAUAAGGCCGGCCACACUGUGGGCUUCUAUGCUGGGAAUGGUUAUGAUGUACAAUCCACUCGGCAGACGUUUCAACUUCUCGUAAAUAUGCUUCUGGCCAUAUUCGUAUGAAGUGAUACAUAGAAAUUCAGAACCAUUAUCUUCUGUGGUUUCAAGAUGAUAUUGAUUAUCUCGAAUAUCUCUAAAACUCAGCAACGUUCUUCCGGAACGUGGAGAAUAAAGUGCCUUGUUAAUGUUCAAGAUUGUACCAUUAGAUAACAUGAUACGUGCCUUUCCGUAUCCUGCAAUCAGGUUGGAUGAGCUUGAGAGAGUUGUAAAAUGAGCUUUCUUGGGUAUUAAGUUAGUAAAAUAAUGUCGUUCACGCAAGAUGGUGUGUGUGGUUGCACUAUCUGCCAGACAACUAACUUCCCCACUAGACAUACAUAGAAAUAAAUUGAUUAAAUUGGUCACAUGCAUAAAUAUAAGUCCAUUCAUUCAAUUAACCAAUUCGAGAAAAUAAUAUCCAUUCCAAUAACAAUCCCUAAUUCAAAACAAACCAAAACCAAACAAAUUAUUCCAAAUACUUAGAAAAAUUGUUCAAAAUUAAACCAUAAAUCUAGAAAAAUAGGGGGGGUAUGGCCAGCCACUCCUAUUGGGUUCGGCCUUUAGGGGUAAACACCCUAAAAACAUGUCUAAUUUAUUCAUCCAUAAGCGUUGACGCCUCCUGAAAAUCCGAAAUGUCCAUUGAUGUAGUUGCAUCUUCCGGAUGAUCCACAUGUGCAAAGUUAGACUCAUAACUGGAAUGAUACUUGGCAAUAGCCUCAGGGGAAGCUUGACAUAAUAGUGACCAAUGAUCAUUUGAUCCACAAUGAUAGCACAUGUCCAGUUCAGCAGAAGCAGGCUGAACGGGAGCUUUGCCCUUAUUCUUGAAGUUUAUGGCCUUAGGGGAGAGUGGUUGACGCUGCUGGGUUACAUUUCUUCCCUUAGAUGUGGCACUUUGUUGACCUUGGGCUUGUGGUUGGGUUUGCCACCCAUUGCCACAGCUACGAUGAUUCUUUCGUCAUUUAUGGCUACUAGAAUAGGUCGCAUGCGCUUCAGCUUAGGCGUUCGAGCCAAUUGAUCGAGCUUGAUGAUUCUUCAUCAAAAGCUUGGUCUGCUUUUCAGCGAUAAGUAAAACAGAGAUCAAAUCCAAAAACUUGGUGAAUUUAUGUGCCCUAUAUUUUUGCUGCAGGACAAUAUUGGUGGCAUGGAAGGUGGAAUAAGUAUUCUCCAGAAGAUCUGAUUCGGUUAGUUCCACUUUGCAGAAUUUCAACAGUGAACGGAUUCUACAAACUUCAGAGUUGUAUUCAUUCACAUACUUAAAGUCCUGGAAGUGAAGAUGUUGCUAGUCGUGUCUUACUUCAGUAUGUCUUUCUGGCGAUCAAAACGGUCGGCCAGAGCAAGCCAAAGGGUGCGUUGGUCCUCCUCAGCGAGAUACUCAGUCUGCAGUGCAUCAUGGAUGUGCCUUCGAAUGAAGAUCAUUGUAGAAGCCUUCUAAGCUUUGUCAACAGGUUUGUCGGUGGUAGGUGCCUCGAUGGUGGCUCUGAUGCCCUUUGCAGUCAGAUGGAACUUCAUGUCUUGAACCCACUUCAGAUAGUUUCUUCCAGAAAAUUCUAGAGCAGAGAAAUCGAGCUUGUUUAAGUUCCACAUGUCCCUAAAACAGAAGGAAAAACGUGAGUAGUCAUAUGGUAAGCUAUAAACAUAUAUCGUAAAACAUACAGGUUCUAUAGGCAUGUACUGGUUUAAUUGAUGCAUGAAAACUACAGGUUUCAUGUGGUAUGUUUUGAAUAAAAACUGCGGGUUUCAAAGGUACUAAAUUUGAAAUUACAAGUUCAAUUUAGUUUUAUGAACAAUUAGUUCAUAAUGAGAUGUUCCUGCAAGAAACACAGAAUGCAAUAUACUAAUUUGAAUAUAGUGGAUUUGAGGUUCUUCGAGAACUCAAGUGUGAGAGCGUCGUUACUACGAAAGUAUGUGAUGGUUCAAAGUAAAAAAAUAAAUUAUUGAAUCGUUAAUGUCCAAAAGUGAUCUUUAGGUCAAUAAUUUUGGAUUCAUUAUUAUAUUAAUGGACUGCAUGACUCAAUCAAGUACUCGUAAUCCAAGUGGGAUUGCAGUUAUUAAAUUGAAAAUAUGACUUCACCCCUGGAACAUAUAUUUUUCAUCUAAAACCCGACAUAAUUGUUUUACUUGAUUAAAACCCAGUGAUUAGGAUCCCCAUAAGCAUAUUCCUUAAUGAGCUUGAAUUCAAAUAUUUUACAUGUUUCCAAUGGCUAAAUUAUCCCUAACAAUAUAUCAAGUUUUUUUUUUUUAACAAACAAUAUUUUUUACACUAAAGGAGGGGUGAACUUAGCCUCAUAAUGAGCUAGCAAUAAUGAGGUCUAAAUUUGCCUUUGGCGAAAAUUGAAGGUAAGACCUCUCUCUUUAACAAUUGUUCUUGCUUCUUAUUUUUUGUUUGAAAUUGAUUUAUUAUAUGCCACUAGGUAAAUUUGUGCUUGUAAAUAUAGAUAAAUUAGUGUAAAUAUAGGUAAAUUAGUGUAUUUCUUAUGUGAUGUCAUAAAAUAAUGUAUCUAUUCUUUUCUCACCCUUUAGUUGUAAUACUUCGUUGUAUGAAAAUAAUGUGCUUAUAUUGUGUCGGUAGGUAAUUAUUGCACAUGAAAAUGCAGGUAAAUAACUUAUAUAUACCAUAUAAGUAAAUUAGUGAAUCAACAAAUUCUAAAUGGGUACAUUAAUGAUAUAUAAAUAGACAAAACAUUAUGAAACUCAUUGAAGGCGCAAAACAAGGAGUAAAUCAUCCAUAUUGACAUGAUUGGAGAAUACUUGCAAUUUUGUAAAAUAAUUGCAGUAAUCGGUCAACUAUUUCUCUAGCUUGCAACUCAUAUUAAAUUUUGGGUUUUAUUUAGAGGUUAAGAAGUGCACGGGUAUAUUGAACUCCCGAAAAAAAAAAAAAAAAAAAAAAAACAAACAAACAGGUGAGUUUACGUUUAUGAAAUAAGAGUUACAAGUCUAUAAACAACCUUUAAACCAGAAGUUCCGCCGCCAUAGUUGUCGUACUGAACCUCGUGCAUGGUCUCAUUGGCCAUAGUCUCUCAGUUGUAAGUCCAACCAACAUUCCGAAGAGCCGCAGAAACUUGAAGCUCCUCCCUCCCGGAUUCUAAGAAAUACAGAGCUUAUGCUAGUACAGCAAUAGACCCAUUAGCCCAUAUCUAUUGGGGAACAAACUGAUACGAGUGAUUCAUAAUGAUGUUGACUGAUUAACCCUUGUCUAUUGUGGAACAAAUACACGUGAUUCAUAUUGAUUUAGACACUACACUGAGUAUAUGGUCCCCCCGCUAAAUGUACAGUACGUAUGUGGUCCAUAUGUCAAAAAGACGAUACAAUAAGUCCCCAUGUUAAAUGUACAGUACGUAUGUGGUCCAUAUUAGAUCUGACAUUUGUGUCCUGUUUUUCGUAUUCGUGUCAGUUUCAUGUCAUACCUGAUAUCUUAACGGAUCGUGUCGUGUAAUACCCGUUAAAAUAAACGGGUAAAAUAAUCCGACCCGAAAUCAACCCGAUAAUAUAAACAGGUAAUAUGACCCGACCUGUUACCUAUUAAGGAAAAUAUAUUUUAAACCAAUAAAUAAUCAAAUGAAAAACAUAAUACUCAAUAAGUAUAUACAUAUCUUAUUGUCACAUCCAAAACAUAAAAACGUAUUUUUCUUUUAAGUAUAUUUUCACUUACCUAAAGUCUUUAAUAGUUUUUUAAUUAAUGUAGAAGGGUAAAAAAAUAUAAAAAAUAUAUAUAAACGCUCAUAAUGACAAGCUUUACAACUUUCAUGAAUAGCUUAACUUUGAAAUUCGCCAUUAUAAUCAUAUAAAUCAUAGAUCAAAAUUUAACUGUUGAUUGUUGUUUACAUUUACGCUUCAUUGUUCUCAUCAAAAUUUUUUUUUCUUCAGAUUUUCUUUUUUGAAAACUUGAUCUAUUAGAGGAUGCAGAAAGAUAAACUGUUUGGAUCGUUGAUAUUAUAUUUAGAGUUUCACGGUUAGUGAAAAUAUUGCUUGAUGUUUAUAAAGUUUCUACAAACUAUAUGACAUCGACUCAUAUUUCAGUUAACCGUAAAUAUCAAAACGUGAUAUCAAAGAUCUGAAUCGUUCAUCUUCUUACAUCUGCCAGAUGAUCAUGUUUUCAAAAGAAGAUAAUUUUUAAAAUAAAAUUCAGUAAGAAGAAUAAAGUGUAAAUGACAAUCGACGGUUAAAUAUAAAUUGAAGGUUUAUAAAUUAUAGUGUUGGAUUUCGAAGCUGACCCCUUCAUGAAAGCUGUAAAGUUUGUCACUAUGAGUGAUUUUGUAUUUUUUUUAUACAUUUUUUACACUUCUACAAUAAUUAUUAUUAAUUUUAUUAAUUUUGUCCUCAAAUAAAAAAUAUUAUUCAUGAAGGUUUGGAAGAUUUUAAAAAUCUAAACGAUAAUGUAAGUGUAACCAUUAUCUACUCGUGGAGGAAUAAUGAUGACUUGCGAGUGUUUAUAUAUUUUUUCAUAUUUUUCAUACUUGUAUGUAUGUCUUCUUAGUUUUUGCCUAUACAAAUAAUAUAUUAGUUUAUUUUAAUUUUGGACAACAACAUGUUAAUUAAAAUUUAUCUUAGUAAUGAUAAUAAGGAACUCUCAUAAUAAAAAUAAAUAAUGACAAAAACUUUUUUUUUUAAACUUAUAUAAAAUAAUAAUACAAAACUUUAUAUUUAAUAUAGAAUAUAUUGUAUAUAUUAAUAUAGCUAUUGUAUUUUAUAAUAAAUCUUUUAGUAAUUAAACUUUAAAAUUAUCAAAAUAAAUUUUUUCCUAACGGGUCGAAACGGGUUACCCGCAUGUAUACCCGUUCAAAAUCCGUUAUUAACGGGUUCUUAACAGGUCACCCGAUAAGUUAUCGUGUUGACCCGAAAUCCGUUAUUUUUCGUGUCGUGUCACUGUUCCAUGUGAGAAAUUACCGGGUCUAGUCCAUAUGUUAAAUAGACAAUAGAAUAAGUCCCUAUGUUAAUUAGACUACACGUAUGUGGUCCAUAUGUUAAAUAUACCAUAAGCAGGGUUCUAAAAAACAUUAGGUGCUAGUCGGGCGGCGAGCUAGUGCCUAGCGCUUAGGCGGCCUAGGCGGAUUUAGGUAAAUUUCUUGUAUAUCUUGUAAAUAAGUGCAUAUUGACACUUACAAAAAAUUAUACUUGUAUGAAAUUCAUGGAUAAGAUAAUAAAAAAAUGAUAAAAUGCAAAAAGAGUAUCCAACAAGUUCAAAAUUUUAAAACACAUUAAGCAUAUAUGUCAUAUAACCAUAAUGAGGAGUAUUGUAGGAUGACACAUGUACGACAAGCUGACAAUUUAAAACCACAUAUUCAGCGGAUUUAAGUAAAUUUAUUAUAUAUCAUAUAAAUAAGUGUUUGUUCAUAUCUAAAAUAUACAUAAUUUCAUUUAAAAUUAUAAGAUAAUCAAAUUUAAACAUUAAAUAAUAUGUUCUUUUUUAAGCGAGAGCUUUAACAUUUUAAGUACAUAAUAAAAAUACAUAUGGUAUGAUCUUAAAAAAAUAAAAUAAAACAUUACAACAAAAAAAUAAAAAAAAGAAUGAAAAGUAAUAACGGGUUAAGAGUGGAAAAAGAAAAGGGCAUAAAAAGUAGUAAAAAAAUGGUGAGAACCAUUCAAAGAAAACGUGCAGUCUGUAAUGGAUGCUUUUCCUAGAUAAAAGAUGGUGGGGACCAUCUUGAUUGAAUCAUGCAAACUGAAUAAUGAUCCAUGUUUACAACCAGACAAAAACAGAAACAAUAUUAAAAACAAAAUAAAUAUGUUAUAGUCGUAAUAAAUAAAUUAGCCUUAUGCAGAAACCAAGAUAAAAAACAAAUAAACAAAUUAAACAGCACAGGAAACAAGGAGAAAAAAUAGAUAAACUAAUUAACUAGCACAGGAACCAAGGAGAAAGAAAAUAAAGUAAAGCAUCAUCUUCAUCUUCUUCGCGUUGAGUUGCACGACGGCUCUGCAACAAUUUUUUCAGAUUCUGGCGUGCUCUACGUAGGCCCUCCUAGCCUUCGCCCAACACCGUCCUGACCAGCAUAACUCCGCCUAGUCCCACCUAAUCCCGCUUAAGCGUCCGUCAAAUAUAUUUCCGAUUUUGUGUCCGAUUAGACCAUCUCCAACCCUUGGGCUAAAAGCCAAAUUUUUUAGCCCGGAAAAUUUAGCUUUUAGCCCAGAAACAUCUUUUCUGCUCCAACCCUUCUACUCUAAAAUUUUAGCCCGGAAUUAUUAAAGAAUGAAAUUAGCCUAAAUUUUUUUCUUAAAUCAAUUUUUAAAAAAAAAAUAAAUAUGUAGAUUAUUGUAAAUUAAUUUUAUGAACAUUUUAAUCUAAAAAAAUUUAAAUUCCGAUAAACAUUUCGCAUUUAGCCCGGGGGGAAUUUGGGGGGGAAUUUGGCCCAACUUUAGCAUUCCCCUUUUAGCCCAAUAUUUUAGCUUGGGUUGGGGGGUGUUUGGGGGGAAUUUUGGGCUAAAUAUUUGGCAUUUAGCCCAGGGUUGGAGUAGGUCUUAGAAGCUAAUCGCAGCAGCAACCGAACGCCCAGCGCCUAGGCGACCGCCUAGACCGACUUUUAGAACACUGACCAUAAUUGUAUGCAGUGGCGAAGCCAGGAUUUGCCGAGAAGAGAGGUGAAAUUUAAAAGAGUGCAAGAUUCAAUUGAAGCGGUUACUUUUAUAUUAGAGAGUGCAAAGUUUUGAGUCCAUAUUUAUAGCAGAAAAUAGUGUCUCCACCAAAGCGGUUGUAAGCAGUAAUAUCAAAGCCAAUGUAAUAAGCUUAAAUUGGCUAGGUUUAUAUUCUAAAAAAAAUACGCUAGUCAAGCAGCUAACUGGAACCUAGUAGCUAGGCGCCUAGGAGAGAUCUAGGUAGGAGCCUAGUGGGAUUUAAAUGAAUUUCUUUUAUCGUAAAAUAAGCAUUAUGUUGUAAGCCUAUUUGAUUGAACGAUCUAGGGUUUAGAGAGAGAGAAGGGGCCGACUAUGGUUAGAGAGAAGAGAGUGAUUUAAUUGUGAGGUGUGUUUGAUUCACCCUAUUGUGUCUUUAUUUAUAGUAGUAGGAUAGGUAAAAACCUUUCCCUUUAGGAUCACAACAUUUAAUAGGUAAUCAACUCCUAAUAGGAAUAGAAGAUACAUUCCCAGAUUCCCUAGGAUUUAUACAAUCACAUUCCUAUUCUAAAUAUGACUGCAACACUCCCCCUUGAGUGUGUAAAUACUCAACAAACCAUCGCAUCAGAUCUUCAGCAGAUAAGGUAGAAUAGUUGAUGAAGUCAUCGGCACAACGGAUGAUUGCGAGUCUCAAAUUUAAGUGAAGUAUGCAUUUGUAGUAAAACUCACAAAAAUAUCGUUAUGGUAAAACCCAAGUCAUGGGGAAAACCCAUGGACUAAGGAGAAAAGUGAGAAGUAUGUAUAAUGUCUUUAAACAAACGUCAAAUUGGACGAAGGUAGUGAACUCAAUGGAGUAUGAUCAUCCCAAGAUGAGUGUCUCAUUAAAACCUCGUUAGGUAGCAAAAACCCAGUGGAAAAUGCUCUUAAUCGUAGGAAAAAGAGUACAUUAAGAUCAUGUGAGUAUGUUUCUAGAUAUUCCCCCUGAGUUAGACAUAACUUCUAAAUAAGAGAACUACAAGCGACUCAACUCAGAUAAUUUAAGCAUUUUGAUUCCUUGGACGAGCUUCUGAAAAGUAGACUUGGGCAAUAACUUGGUGAAGAGAUCAGCCAGGUUGUCCUGGGAACGGAUUUGCUUGACCUCAAUGUUCUGAUGCUACUACUGUUGGUGUGAGUAAAAGAACUUCGGGUUAUGUGCUUGGUUUUGUCUCCCUUGAUGUAUCCCUUCUUCAACUGCUUGAUACAUGUCGCAUUGUCUUCAAAUAUCGUCGUAAGAAGGUCAACGACUGAUGUAAGACCACUAAUGCUUCAAAUAUGUCCUAUAAGAUAUAGCGGUGUCUCUAAAGGUAAAGACAUAUCCUGUUUGAGAACGUGCCAUGUGUGGGUCAAACAGAUAUCCAGCAUCUGCGUAACCAACAAGGCGAGAAUCAAUCCGAGAACCAUAAGGGGCGGUAACACUCGAAGAUUCGUAGGUAUAGAACAAGCCCAAAUCCGUUGUACUUUUGAGGUAGCGAAAAAUGUCUUUAACAUCAUUCCAGUAACUGCAUGUGGGCGCAUUGCUGUAUCUUGCCAAAAUGUUCACAGCAAAUGAGAUGUCGGGUCUAAUGCACUGAGCCAAGUACAAUAAAGCCCCAAUUGCACUUAGGUAAGGAACUUUGGGUUCCAAAAUCUCUUCCUCAUCCCCUUUUGGAUGGAAGGAAUCUCGUUUAGCAUCUAGAGUCCGAACGACCAUGAGUGUACUCGAAGGUUUCGCUUUAUCCUCAUUAAAAGGAUGUAACACCUUUUGGGUGUAGUUCAAUUAAUGUACUAGGAUUCCAUGCAAACAAUGCUCGAUCUCCAGGCCAAGACAGUAUCGAGUUUUACCAAGAUCCUUCAUCUCAAAUUCCGAUUUCAAAUGCGCAUCAAUUUCCUCAUGCUUUACGGGACUCCCAAUGAGGUUCAUGUUAUCGACAUAAACUGCAACGAUUGCAAAUAAGGAAUGUGACCUCUUUAUGAACACGCAUGGGCAUAAUUCGUUGUUCACAUAACCCUGAUUUGUUAAAUAUUCACUCAGACGGUUAUACCACAUUCGCCCGGAUUGUUUCAAUUCGUAGAGUGACCUCCUCAACCUAAUAGAGAAAGUGUUCCAUGGUCUAGAACUAUUUGAACUAGUCAAUGGAAGUCCUUCUGGAACUUUCAUGUAAAUUUAUGUAUCUAGAUCCCCAUAGAGAUAAGCGGUUACCACGUCCAUAAGCUGCAUAUUCAGUUUUUUGAAAACUAUCAAACUGAUUAGGUAAUAGAAUAUUAUAAUGUCCAUUGCGGGGGAAUUCGUCUCCUUGUAAUCAAUCCCACGGCGCUGAGAAAAACAUUGUGCUACGAGGCGUGCUUUGUAUCACACUAUUUCAUUAUUCUCAUUAUGCUUCCUCACAAAAACCCACUUGUAGCCAACGGGCUUCAAGCGUGGUGGUGUAGGAACGAUAGGUCCAAAUACCUUACGUUUCAUGAACGAAUCGAGUUCAACCUAGAUUGCUUGUUUCCAGUUUGACCAAUCAGUUCUACGUCGGCAUUCAUCCAUCAAAGAAACGUGGUUCAAUGUCAUCGGUAAGCAUGAUAUCAGUAGCUACUGAAUACGCGAAUGCAUCAUCGACAAUCAUCUUAUUCAUAUUCCAAACCUUAUCCAAUAUUACGUAAUGGACCAAAAUCUUGUGAUUCUCGAGAGGCUGGCAUGUUUCAUCUAAAGCAUCACCAUAAUCUAGAAUAACCUAAUGCGUUGGAACAGAUGAGUGAGUGAUGGUCGGAUUCAACCUCUAGGGGUAAACACCUUAAAAAAAACAUGUCUAAUUUAUUCAUCCAUAAGCGUUGACGCCUCCUGAAAAUUUGAUAUCUCCAUUGAUGUAGUUGCAUCUUCCGGAUGAUCCACAUGUGCAAAGUUAGAUUAAUGACAGGAAUGAUACUUGGCAAUAGCCUCAGGGGAAGCUCGACAUAAGCAUGACCAAUGAUCCCUUGAUCCACAACGAUAACACAUGUCCAGUUCAGUAAAAGCAGACUGAACGGGAGCUUUGCCCUUAUUCUUGAAGUUUAAGGCUUUAGGGGAGAGUGGUGGACGCUGAUGGGUCACAUUUUUUUCCCUUAGGUGUGACACUCUAUUGACAUUGGGCUCGUGGUUGGGCUUGCUGCUCGUUGCCACGGCUACGACGAUUCUUUCAUCGUUUAUGGCUCCUAAAAUAGGUCGCAUGCGCUUCAGCCUAGGCGUUCGAGCCAGUGGGGUCAAGCUUGAUGAUUCUUCAUCAAAAGCUGGUUCUGCUUUCAGCAAGAAGGAAUACAGAGAUGAAAUCCGAAAACUUGGUGAAUUUAUGUGCCUUAUAUUGUUGCUGCAGGACAAUAUUGGUGGCAUGGAAAGUGGAAUAAGUCUUCUCCAGGAGAUCAGAUUCGUGAAAACUACAGAAGGAAAAACGUGAGUAGUCAUAUGGUAAGCCAUAAACAUAUAUCGUAAAACAUACAGGUUCUGUAGGCAUGUAUUGGUUUAAUUGAUGCAUGAAAACUACAGGUUUCAUGUGGUAUGUUUUGAAUGAAAACUUCGGAUUUCAAAGGCACUAAAUUUGAAACUACAAGUUCAAUUUAGUUUUAUGAACAAUUAGUUCAUAAUGAGAGGUUCCUGCAAGAAACACAUAAUGCAAUAUACUAAUUUGAAUAUAGUGGAUUUGAGGUUCUUCGGGAACUCAAGUAUGAGAGCUUCGUUACUACGAAAGUAUGUGAUGGUUCAAAGUAUAAAAAUAAAUUAUUAAAUCGUUAAUGCCCAAAAGUGAUCUUCAGGUUAAUAAUUUUGGAUUCAUUAUUAGAUUAAUGGACUGCAUGACUCAAUCAAGUACUCGUAAUCCAAGUGGGAUUGCAGUUAUUAAAUUGAAAAUAUGACUUCACCCCUGGAACAUAGAUUUUUCAUCUAAAACCCGACAUAAUUGUUUUACUUGAUUAAAACCCAGUGAUUAGGAUCCCCAUAAGCAUAUUCCCUAAUUAAGCUUGAAUUCAAAUAUUUUACAUGUUUUCAAUGGCUAAAUUAUCCCUAAUAACAAUUGGAUUUAGACAUUUCUUUUCCUAUUCUAUAUCAUUUUUUUUAACAAACAAUAUUUUCUACACUAAAGGAGGGGUGAACUUAGCCUCAUAAUGAGCUAGCAAUAAUGAGGUCCAAAUUUGCCUUUGGCGAAAAUUGAAGCUAAGACCUCUCUCUUUCACAAUUGUUCUUUUUUCUUAUUUUUUUUUGUUUGAAAUUGAUUUAUUAUAUGCAACAAGGUAAAUUUGUGCUUGUAAAUAUAGAUAAAUUAGUGUAAAUAUAGGUAAAUUAGUGUAUUUAUUAUGUGAUGUCAUAAAAUAAUGUAUCUAUUAUUUUCUCACCCUUUGGUUGUAAUAUUUCGUUGUAUGAGAAGAAUGUACUUAUAUCUUGUUGGUAGGUAAAUUAUUACACAUGAAAAUGCAUGUAAAUAACUUAUAUAUACUGUAAACAUGGAAAUUCUUGAAACAAACGAAACAAGAACACAUGUACAAAAUAAUAUUUUGUAUUAAUGAUUUUUGAGGUUACAAUCUCUCUCAAAUUUAAUCCUCUGAUUCGAUCUCCAUGAGGUGUUGAUUUGUGGAUGUGCGAUUGAUCCAAGGGCCAUUGAGGCUUGAACUUGGAUGAACGGUUGGAAAUUUCUUCAAGGGGCUUUAGGCCUAAUCUUGAGGGUUGAUGGAUGAACGGAUCUUCAAGGCUUUUGAGCUUGAUCUUGAAGAACUGUUGAUGAACGGAUCUUCAAGGGCUUUUGGGCUUGAUCUUGAAGAACGGUUGGAUGUGUGGAUUUAUUGAUGUUGUUGAUCCAAAAGGUCGUUGGGGCUUGAUCUUAGGAUGAAUGGAUUUAGUCACACGCUACGUGUAAAAUUUAUGUGACACUUGAGCAUUGAAAUUGUAAUUGUUGGUCAACAUUUAUUUCACCGAAAUUUCAAUGUCUACAAAUGCCCCCACUUCAAGGCGCGUCGUAUACAUGUGCUUGUCACGUGUAGGAGAUGCAUUUUAAAGUCCCUUAAUGUAAAUGUCGAUCCAAUGGCCAUCGAUGCUUGAUCUUGAAUUGGGCUGGAGAUUUCUUCAAGGGUCGUUGAGGCUUGUUCUUGAACUUUGUUUGAAAUUUCUUCAAAGGCCGUCGAGGCUUGAUCUUGAAUUAAAUUGGACCACAAGGAGCUUCAUGUGGUAGAUGAUCUUUGGCUUUGGUAGUGGAUGAAUCGGUACGUAUUUUCUUGCGCUUGUUGACUUUCCACAACUUUGAUCUUGAACUGGGUUGGAGGAUUUUCUGGUUUCCUCCAAUUAUUGACUUUCCACUGGCUUAUUCUUGAACUGGGUUGAGGGGUUUCUUCUGCUAGACUUACCCCAAAAUGUCUGGAUUUACUCCUUUUAUCUGGAGCUGAAUUUGGUUCAAGGAUGGUGGACACUUAAUCUUGAAUCGGACGUGAUUUCUUCAAGUUGGUGACUUAAUCUUUAAGGAUUUGAUUCAAGGGUGGUGAAUCGGCACGUGCAGCUCACAACGCCUAGCGAGUAGACUCAAGAAUUUGAGGGUCAAAACAAGUCCGCCAAAUCUAGAGUACUUGCAACCCUGACGAUAUGAGAUAUUUUUUGCUUUUGAAGAAGUAGCAGGUGAAUCGGCACAUGUUUGCUGUGCUUGUCUCCACAUGCUUCAAUGUAGCAUUUUCACUUACCUUAUCUGUUCUUCAGGCAGAUUUGGUAUCUUCUGCUAGACUUGUCUAUUUCCCCGGCGGAGCAAUGCUAGGUAAGCAAUCAGGAAAGGGUUCCAGGUAGUCGGUUCCUGACUAGGAGUUUGACUUCAAGUUCCGACUGAUUGCUCUCUUUCUUCUUGUCCUGUAGGUAAGAACAAGGACAAAGAAAAUGACAGGGAGAAAGCAUGAUAUGAGAUACUCUUGUUUUCGAAGAAGUGGUGGCGAUUUGACAGCAUUGCAUAGUGAGGCUUUGUUCUUCGGGGAUGGUGCCAGCGAAAGGCUAUUGAAGCUUUUCGAGCUCUUUGAUUAGGGCAACGAUGCCAAGCUUAGCUUUGAUUUAGACUCAUCCAUCUGGGUUAUGCGGUUCUGCAGGGAAGGGCGUCGUGCUAUAGUGAUCUGUUCUGGCUCAUCAUUGAUCCUUCUGCUUCAAUCUCUUGCAGUAUUUGCCCCCGAUGCAGGAGUGGAAUGCAAUCUUUGCAUUUAAAUGGCCUUUCAGAGCACUACUUCUUAGCGGCGAUGAGCACUCAAGAGCACUGCCAGGUAAGCAACCAGGCAAAGGUUCCGGGCAAUCAAUUCCAGAUCAGAAGUUUGAUUUCAAGUUCCGACUGAUUGCUUUCUUUCUCCUUGUCUUGCAGGUAAGAGCAAAGGUAAAGGAAAAGACGAGGAAAAAGCAUGAUAUGAGAUACUCUUGCUUUCUAACCUGAUGAUAUGAGAUACUUUUGUUUUGAUGUCAUUUGUUUGCAAGGGUAUUCCUGGAGAGGAAGAAAACUGAGUAUUUCAAGAGGCUAUACUAGGAGUGUACUCUCGGAGGUGAGGAAGAGUUGGGCAUUUUUUGUAGGUCUGCCUUGCUAUGGAGGACGAAGGUCGACAUAUAUAGGAAUUUUCCAACAGCCAGUAGUGGCACUAUUUCUUUACUCUUGUCGGCAACUGUUAGGUAAUUGAAACAGUAAGAUUCACGCGUUUUCGACUUUGUCAGAAAUCUUUGACAAAGUUGUCCGUGCUUUCUGCAAAGUUGAAAGGGUGGCGACAAACUUUGAUCCGGAAAAUCCAAUUUUUUUUUUAAUUCACAUAGCAGUGCCUCUUCGAUCUGUGAACCGGUGGCCUUGUUGCCUUUUUUAUUUCUGAACAAAAGGCCCGACUUUUGAAAUUCAGGGAGAGGUGCCUUUUUGGUUUCUGAACGGUCACGUUGCCUCUUCGAUUUCUGAACAGGCCUUGUUGCCUCUUCUUUUUUAUAGAGGCAUGAAUUCUGUUCAAAACACACUUAGAGAGUUGUCGCAUGUAGGAAUUUUUUUUUUUUAAUAUUUCUGAGAAUUCGAUUUACCCGACCUCUUCUUCCUUUAUCAUUUUUUUUACAAAUGGCUUGCCUAUCUGAUCGUCUUCUUGAUUUGAAUGUUGGGGAAGAUGUUGAUAUGUCUUCUCCAUACAACAUAUGGCACCCAUCCUUCUUAUCCCUCACCGGUUCUCUUACGGUUAGGGACUCUGUGAUGAAGAAUGACAUCACUGCUAUGGUGGUUGCUAGAAAUCUUCUCACCCCCAAGGAUAGCAGGAUCAUUUCCAAACGGUCUGAUGAGAUGGUUGUUCAGGACUCUCUGGCUUUCAGUGUUCAGUGUGCGGGCUCCGUAUCAAAUAUGGGCCAACGCCUUCUUGCUCGAACUCGUCAAGUCGAGUCACUAAUGGCUGAGGUGGCGAGUCUUAAGCAAGAGAUUAGAGGGCUUUAGCGUGAAAACAGAGUUGCACAUACUUGCCAAUAGUUACUCGACGAGCAUGAAGAGAAAGCUUGACCAGCUGCAGGAAUUCGAAAGUCGGAUUCAGAGUGACCAUCAUAUGGUUGUGGCUUUACUCCAGAGACACAUAUUGCAUUUGUCCUCUGGCGUUUUACCGAGUGUUGAGGCUCCAAACAAUCAACCUCCGGCGUCUCUUCUUCCCUGAGUUUCGCCGAGUGAUGAGGUGCCACCUGAGCAACCUUCUUGAAAUCAAUAAAUGAGGCUUUUUUCACUCAAUGGAUUUUUUUUAUUUUUUCUUUUCUUUUCUUUCGCAUGGUGCUGAUCCACCAUUCAAUUUUUUAUAUAUUUCUUUCUUUUCUUUCCUUCACGCGGUAAGGCACCAUUCCAAAACUUUUUUUCUUUCUUUCAUAUGGUGCAAUUCGCACCAUCCCACCUCCCUACUUUCUUUUGCUUUUUUUUUGUUUUUUUGUAUUUUUUAUCCUUCUUUUCAAAGUGGGCUGAUGGUGAUGAUCCUUUACAAUUUUUUAUUAGUAUUUUUUUUAUUUUUUUUCACAUGGUGCUGUGCACCAUCCAAACUUUUAUACUUUUUUUUUGUCGGCCAUAUAUAUAUAUAUUUUUUCUUUCUUUUAACGUGGUGGCACCACUUUGCUCCACCAUCCCAUUUUUUAUUAUUUUUUGGGUAAAUUACAUAGUAGCCCCUUAGGUUUGAGAUCUAUUACAAUCUCAUACAACAUCUUUAAAACAUUUCACUUUCAUGCCUCAAGUACUAUUUUAUUUCAAAAUAAUACCUCUGUUACAUUUUACAUCCAUUGAUCCGUUAAAUGCUGACGUGGCUGUCAAAUAUGUGCCACAUGGCUGCCAAAUGUAUGCCACGUGGCAAAAAUAAUAAUUUUUUAUUUUUUAUUUUUGAAAAAUCUUAAUCUUCUUAUAAAAAAUAUAAAAAAUAAUAAAAUAAUAAAAAAUAAAUAAAAAAAACCAAAACUUAGAAAACACAGAACCACCCCCGCAACCUCUCCCUACCCCUCUUUUCCCUCCCAACCACCUCCCUCUCCUCCACUCUCUUCACCUCCCCUCCCAUCCAAAAACCCACCCCACUCCCUUUCUCCCUUCUCUCAUAUGUAACCUCACCCACAACAUUCCAACAUAUUCAAAUCAUGAAAUUAAACAACAAUUUUCUCAAUUCAUACACAGAAAUCCAAGAGUUUAACCUUAAGGGACAGCAACCACCAUUCCUUGAAGCUCUGGAGUGAGGACGACCUGCCAUCCCAGCCUUGAGAACCCUAGCCCUAGAGUUCCUCUUCAGCACGUACUCCUUGUCGUAGGACCGCAGAGGGAGGUGGCUCGACGAAGGGAGCUUGUCGCCGGGGGCAAGGUUCGUGAGAGCUUGUCGUUGCCGGAGCUUAUCGUCGCAGGGGGGGAGGGUAGUCACGCAAGCUUGUAGCCGCAGCCGGGGGGGCGGAGGGGGCUUCAGGAAGAGCCUCUGCGAGGUGGGGUGAGGUGGGUCGUCUGGAGAGGGGGUGUUUAAGUUUAUGGGUUUUUGUGUAUGGGUAUGGAGGGAAGGGAAGAGGGGUUCAGCUUUUGCUUUUGUUUUUUUUAAGAAGAUUCAAAAUUUUCAAACAAAAAUUAUUAUUUUUGCCACGUGGCAUACAUUUGGAAGCCACGUGACACACAUUUGGCAGCCACGUCAGCACUUAACGGAUCAAUGGAUGAAAAAUGUAACAGAUGUAUUAUUUUGAAAUAAAAUAGUACUUAAGGUAUGAAAGUGAAAUGUUUUAAAGAUGUUGUAUGGAGUUGUAAUAGACCUCAAACCUGAGGGGCUACCAUGUAAUUUACCCUUUUUUUUGUAUAAAUUUUGAUGAUGGGCUGGGGAAUUUGCAAGGAAGGACGAAGACGGAAGGAGAGCUAGAGUCAAGAUUAGUGGUAGUGCAAAGCGUCGAGCUUCACGACCAGCUAGUCAUUUGACGGUGGUCGUUGAAGUUCUUCGCCGACUUUGAUCAUGGCGACCAAAGUGACGAGCUUGAGGUAGUGCAAAGCGUCGAGCUUCAUGACCGGCUAGUCGUUUGACGGUGGUUACUGAAGUUCUUCGUCGAUUUUGUUCAUGGUGGCCAGAGUGAAGAUGACUCACAGGUUUAGAUGCAGGAGCAUGGAGAGCACAGACGAAAGUGCGUUGAGGGCCGAAGAAGAAUGCGAGGAGACUGAGGAAGAAGCCCUUCCUCUUGUUCUGCCAUGGAAGAUGAACCUCUUCGAAAUCUGAAGCUCUACUACUACCACAACUGAGCACAACCAACAGACUCCGCCACGUCAAUUCCCUGGGCUCCCCCAAAGACACCUUUGCUUCAUGCUAAUCGUUGGAUAAGUGACAGCCGCAACUCUACCUCUCUACCCAGCGAGAGCCCCACCACAAGGUCACACGCCACCGAGAAUCUCUGCCCAACUAGCCGCUGCCAUGCUGCUGUCUGUGUCUUUCUUCUCUCAGCAACUAAUGUAUUGCCAGCCAUCUCGUUGUUUCCUCUGUGAGCCUCAUCAACGCCUACCGAGCCCUUGCCGAUGAUGCACGUCAUUCCUUUGAUCGCUUCAACGUAUUCAGCAACUCGACUGAGUCGCACAAGCCCAAACAACUCAACCUCUCAUCGAACUUGUUGACUUGGACUAUAGUUUCAGUCAUCGCACAAAUCUAGUCUGAAAGAGGCCGAGCUCAAGGUGUGGAGGGUCUGGAGCUUGACGCAGUGGACGUGGGAGGGCGGUGUGGAGAAGUUGAGAUAAUAUGAUCUCAGACACACUGAUAGAGAAGACUUGGAAAAACUUUGAUUUAUUGUACAACCGAAGGGCAGACGAGCCCCGUUGACUUGACUUCAAGUCUCCUCCGUCUGUGAGUCUUCAAGCUGAGAGUUUCGACCUAAACCACUAAGACCGCUUCCAUUAUAAUUGCCUUCGUAAAAAAAAUACAAAGUUCAUGGCCACCAACCAAGCAUCUUCACUCUGUGAGGCUGAUAUGUACACCCCAUGUGCAAUCUGUCACAUAUGUGUUACUUCUGCAUCAACUUCAACAUCAUAUGCGAAUAAUUUCCCAUCACUUGGGCAGCUGAGGAAGAGAAGUGGAGAGCUUGGAGGUUCAGCCCUGUAAAGAUGCAAAGUCCAGAAUGGAGCAACCCAGCCGAACCGACUCGAUUCUGGCAGGAGAUUUUGGAAAGGGAUCUUGAUGGUGAGAAGGGGGCCAAGAAUGAGUCUCGGUCUGCAAGACACUUCUCCAAAACAUUUCUCCAUAAAUGAACCCCAUUCUCAUCUUCGUACACAUCACAGAGGUUAAUCGUAUUCGAGCGCUGCGAUAGAUUCUCAACAAUCUUCCUCAUCACCAGGAUUUCAUUUGUGAGCAGCACACUUGAUAUGGACACUUGUUUUCGGGUUUGGAAAACGGCAACAGCAAAGUUAUUCUGGUCUCCUCUUUCUUGAUCUCUCGGCAGCAUCCCUGUUUCUCAACUGCCUUCUCGUUUUCUUGGAGAUAGGAUUGUCGUCAAGAAUUUCACUAAGAUGGCGUGGCUUGAUCCCAAGUAGUAUGCGAAUGAAGCUUGGGGUGUUGGGAGGAGGUACAUCCAUGGCUGGGUGUCGAUAGUGGUAGUGCUCGCAGCUCUUAGAUCUGAUGAAUAGCAACCGAAGUUGGCUUGUGCGUCGAGGCCGAAGGCAAUGAAUGCGAGGUUGGUGAGGAAGGACACGGGUCCAGCGGUUGCUGGAAUUGGGUUGCGCCGGCGCUGAAGAGCACGGAGGAAGCAGAGCGGCAAAACGAUGGUGGUGAAGGGCAGCUUUCGCGGAGGAUCUAGAACCAGGCGUCGUCUAACCGCCCGCGUGAUCGUACAUGUAAGACAUGAAGCUUAGAAUCACAGUGAAAGCGUCCUCCAUCUCUCGCCUUCUCAGCCAGGUUGACGAUCUUCGAAACCGUCGAUUCGCUCGGUUUCACAUCCUCCGAAGCCAUUUCAGCAGAAAGAGUGAGACUUGGGCCUCUUCAUGGGCCUAUUGGGUAUGGGAUCCGAUGGAGGUCAGGAGGGUAUGGCUUGGGCCUGGAUUUGGGCUGCUCAUUUCUGUGGACUUCAACUUGUGUUUCUUUGAUUUGGCACGGGUCUUAAGUGUAAGAAGACCCACUUUAACAUGUAUACAUUUUUUUUAAAUUUUUUUUACUACAAAGAAUAUUGUUUUUUUUUAUUUGUAAUAAAAUUGACUCUCAAUAGUCAAACAUUUAAUAAAACCUUAUUUUUUAUUUUGACGUGACUGUACUCGAAGUUGAUCGUUCGAGUUGCUUACGUACCCUUCCAAAGAAGAGAUCAAGUCAUAAUGUAGUUCAAAUACAUAUUUUUUUCGAUUUGUUUUAGUCCCGUACGUAGUUUAUGCUCUUGCGGGCUAGGAGCAUGGUCCGUUUGUUUUAGGGGUAGUAGCGCUUCAAGAAUCUGCCAUUGAUGGGGCCGAUAUUCAAGCUGUCUUCUGCCAUGAUUAAGUAGGCGCCAUUGGUGUAGACUUUUUCUAUUACGCCAGGUCCAUCCCACUUUGAUGUGAACUUGCUUUUUGUUUUGUGAGUUAUGAUGAUAAGUCUACGCAAUGUAAGAACGAGAUCUCCCACUUGAAAAGAACGAGGGCGAACUUUCUUGUUGAAAGCCUUGGAGAGUCGUGCUUUAUAACACUCCAAGUGCUGCUGAGCUUCAAGCCUUUUCUCAUCCAGUGCUUCCAGCUGUUGAAGAUGCAACUUUGUGUUUUCUUCAUCAGUCAAGCCUUCUUGUAUAGCCAUCCUUAGUGAGGGGAUUUGGCUUUCGAGUGGCAGAACAGCUUACACGCCGUACACGAGAGAAUAAUGCGUAGCUUGGGUAAGAGUCUUAUGUGUCGUCCUAUAUGCCCAAAGUGCUUCGCUUAUUCUUUCUUGCCAGUUUCUCUUUAUUCGGCCGAUCACCUUCUUUAGGAAGCUGCACAAUGUUUUGUUGAAUGCUUCUGCAAGACCGUUGGCCGGAGUAUGAUACAUGGAAGACUUGUGUAGUUUGAACUUGUAUUUCUCACAGAGCUCGUCCAUGAGUCGGUUGGAGAAUCGUUUUCCAUUGUCAGUGAUGAUGUAGCGAGGCACACCAUAUCGGUGGAUGAUAUGUUCCUUGAUGAAACAGACAACAGCUUCCUUCUUGACUUCCCUUAGGGGUAUGGCUUCAGCCCACUUGGAGAAGUAAUCUGUUGCAGCUAUGAUGUAAGCUUCUUCUGUAGAUGACUUUGGUGCAAUCGGCCCUACGACAUCCAAUCCCUAUGCAUUGAAUGGCCAUGAAACAACUGUAGGGUGUAAUGGUUCAGGUGGUUGAUGUAUGAAGUUGGCAUGGAAUUGGCAGGCUUAGCACCUUUUGGCGUGUUCCAGACAAUCUUUCACCAUGCUUGGCCAGUAGUAACCCAUUAUUUUGAGCUGAAAAUGUAGCUUUGGUCUAGACUGAUGCACCCCGCAUACGCCUGAGUGUGCUUCUUCCAUGGCUUGAUUGGCUUCUUCCUCACCUAGGCAUCUCAGAAGUACUCAUUCAAAAGAGCAUCGGUGGAGUGUUCCUUUGUAGUAAAGAAAGCAAGGUGUUUGUCGAUGUAUUUCGGAGUGAUGUCUAGGAUCAUUUGGAAGCUUUCCAUGCUCCAGGUAGUAGAUUAGCGGUUGUCUCGACUCUUCAGCAUCGACUGGAAGUAUUGAGAUGACAUUUGUAUCAUCCAGUAGCAUUUCAGUGACGAACGGGAUCACCCAUCUUUGGCAAACUGGCACGUCUGCAGCUUCAUCUUCCCCCUAGUGUCAUAUUUGAGGCUAGGUUGGCGAGAGCGUCUGCCAUUUGUUUUUCUUUUCUUGGCAUAUGUUCCAGUGUCACAGUCUUGAACUUUUGUAGCAGUUGAGUUGCCAGCCGGAAGUAUGGGACGAGAUCGUCUUUCCUCACCUCAUAUUCAGUUAAGAGUUGAUUGAUUAUAAGCUUGGAGUCACCAAAUACCUCAAGGGCUGUGAUUCCCAUGUUGAUCGCCAUUUGGAGUCUGAUGAUCAGUGCUUGGUACUCAGCGACGUUGUUGGAGCAUAGUUCGCUUAGUUGGAAGGAAUAAAGUAGUAUUUGCCUUUGUGGCGACAUGAAUACUACUCAUGCCCCUGCUCCGUUUGCUCAUGCAGAUCCGUCGAAGAACAUCGUCCAUGUCGGGAAGAUGUCAAUGUAGAACACCUCCUCAUCAAGCAAGUCAUCUGAGAUUUUCCAAUCAGCUAGGAUUGGAUGAUCGGCAAGGAAGUCUGCUAGUGCUUGUCCCUUGACGGCUUUAGUUGGUACGUAGAUGAUCUCUUAUUGAUUAAGAAGCAACGCCCAUUUAGCUAGUCGCCCUGUUAAGACUGGUUUGGACAUGACGUAUUUGACCGGAUCAGCUUUAGUAACUAGGUGGAUGGUGUAAGCAUGCAUGUAAUGCCUGAGCUUCUGAAUAGCAAACAUCAAGGCGAGGCACAUCUUUUCUAUUGGGGAGUAGUUCAACUCAGCGCCGGUGAAAGUUCGGCUAAGGUAGUAGAGUGCUCAUUCUUUCUGGGAUUCAUUCUCUUGUGCCAAGAGUGCUCUAACUGAACUUUCCUGAGCGGCGAUGUACAAUAUGAGCAGUUUCCCGGGCACAUACGCCCCCAUGACAGGUGGACUUGAUAAAUAUUUUUUUAUUCUUUCAAAAGCAUUGUGGCAUGCUUCGUCCCAUACGAACGGAACAUCCUUCUUCAUGAGUCGACUGAACGGUUGAUAACGCCCUGCAAGGUUGGAGAUGAAAUGUUUGAUGAAGGCUAGUCGUCCUUGUAGAUUUUUCAGCUCGUGCAGGUUUCUUGGUUCAGGCAUGCUUUGAAUGGCCUUGAUUUUUUAUUGGUCCACUUCAAUGCCACAGUGCUUGACAAUGAAGCCGAGGAACUUUUUAGAGGUGAUGCCAAAUGCGCACUUUAACAGGUUCAUCUUAAGGGUGUAUUUUCGCAACCUUUCAAACACUAUUCAUAAAUCCUUCAGGUGAUCUGAUCUUUUCUUUGUCUUGACAACCGCAUCAUCUACGUAACAUUCUACAUUUUUGUGUAGCAUGUCAUUGAAGAUUUUCUGCAUUGCGCGUUGAUAUGUGGCUCCAGCGUUUUUCAGACCAAAGGGCAUCACCUUGUAGCAGUAGAUACCUUUUGGAGUGCGGAAGGCUGUUAGUUCCUCAUCUUCGAGAGCCAUGUGAAUUUGAUUGUAUCCAGAAGAGCCGUCCAUGAAUGACAGUGCUUCAUAGCCAGUGGUUGCAUCUACCAUGAUUUUGAUGAUUGGCAAGGGGAAGUCGUCAUUCGGGCAAGCAUCGUUGAGGUCCCGGAAGUCUAUGCAAACACGUAUUUGUCCAGAUUUCUUAAGGACGAUGAUGAUGUUGGAGAUCCACCUGGGGUAUUGCACCUCUCGAAUGAAGCCUGCUUCAAUUAGCUUGUCAAUCUCAGCCUCAAUUUGUAGGAUGAGCUCCGAUCGAUAUCGCCUUUGAGUUUGCUUUAUCGGUCAUGUUCCAGGCUUGACUGCAAGAUGAUGCACAACGAUGACAGGGUCAAGGCCGGGCAUUUCCUUGUAGGUCCAAGCAAAGACGUCUUUGUACUCUAGUAGCAAUUGGUAAUACUCUUCUGUCUCAUCCGCACUUAGCAGCGCACUUACAAAGAUAGGCUUCAACUCUUUUUUUGUGCCUAAGUUAAGCUCUUUGAGAUCAUCAAUCGUGGCUUGCCCCCCAUCCUCAAGUUGUGGUGGUGCGGCAGUGAAGUCUUCCUCGGGGAUUUCUUCUUCUUUGCCUUCUUGGAUCGUGAUGUGGAAGACGUCUUGGACUUCCUCUUCAGUUCCGUCCUUUCGGGCUUGUUGACGUGAAGAUUGGCCGGUGUGAAUGAUGGUGCGCCUUCUCACUUUCAGUGAUCCAAUUGUGUCAACCUACAAGAUUGCUUGGCGUUUCAUCCUUGAAGGAAUAGAGCUUCGAACAUCAUCUUUUCUUGCCAAACUGUCGAGCUUUUCUUCCUUUGGCGUCAUUUCCCUCUUUCUAGAAGGCUUCUUGUUGUCUUCAAGUCUUUCCAAAGCUAACCAUCGCGGAGGAGAGCUAGCCAUGUUGCUGCGUUGCUUGGGUUUUAAUAACCUUUCAAAAACAGAGCUUUGGGAUGUUGGUGUGUUAAGCCUCUUGAAAACGGAGGUUUGGUCUUGACCACCAAUGCAAUCAAGUGCCGAAAUUCUAGGCCUUGAACGAUUCAUCCUAUCGAAGACUGACAUCAGAGGAGCGGACUUAGGCUCCUCUUGAUUUUGUUCAACGCUCAUGCUGAUGUGUUAAGUGCUAGCAUUUUUCGCUUUGCUUGAAAUCUUCACGGGUGCAUUUAGUGUGAAGUCAAGCCCAGCUUUGUUGUUGUCAACUUCGUAACCAUGCUCCUUCAACUUCUUUUGAGUCUUGGUGAGGUUAUAUUCUUUGUCGUUGAAGGUGUUUGAAACCCUCUUUCCAGGAUUCGAAAAGGAAGCGAAGUCGUACUGAGUUUUCGACAUGAGCUUGUAGGCGUUUGGAUCAAAACCUUCUUCGGUCCUCUUGGUUGGAAGAAAGCUUGGUUCCACCCCAUUUGGCAGAGCUUUUAUGAAGCCUUGUGGUAGUCUUGCAACCUUAGCAUCGCGUAGCUGUGUCAGAGGCAAAACUGCAUCCGUCUUGAGCAACUUUAAAUUAUCCUUGUGUCGUUGUGCAUCGAAUUUGCUUGCUCCAGUUUCGAACGGGGAUUGACCAUUCUUUCUUCUCGACAUCGAGAUGUAUCGGAAAACAUAACUUCUCCUUCUUACUUCUUGGGCAUGGCUUGCCACUCCUGCUUUUUAGGUGUUGCUUUGCCAGUGGAUUUUAUCUCUUUUGAAAGAGCUUCAGGCACCAUGUCUUCAUCCAUGUAUAACUUGGCAUCUCCAAAAUAUGAUUCGGCUUCGGUGAAUGGCUUGGUGUCGUCUUGGAUCACCUUCACUCCUUCUCGGUAAAAUUUUAAGCAUUGGUGAAGGGUGGACAAUACUACUCCCUUCACGUGGAUCCAAGGCCUUUCUAAGAGCAAGCUAUAAGAAGUUCUUGCAUCAAUAACGUGGAAUAUCGUGCUUGACUUAAGUUCGCCAAUGGUCAUCUCCACUCGGAUCGUGCCCAUUGCUCUUUGACCUCCUUGAUUAAAACCUUGGAUUAGUAGACGGCUUAGGGAUAGUUCGUCCACCUUGAUGCCGAUUGUGGUCAUUGUUGACUUUGGCAUGAUGUUUAUGGUUGAUCCACCAUCCACAAGCAUGCGGUUGACUUUGUGCUCUCUUAUGUACCCCGAGACGAAGAAAUGACGGUUGUGAGGCUUUGAUCCCAGCAGUAAGUCUUCAUCUGUGAAGUUGAUUGCGUCUUAGGUGGCACAACAUGUGGCACAUUCAUGCGGCCGAAGCUUCAAGCCUUCGUUUAUCUUUUUUUCCUCGAUAGCGAUGGCUUUGCCUUUUAAAGGUUAUUCCAUUUCUACUUCGACCAUGUGACAUGCAGCGGCAGUGCACUGUUGGAAGAAGUCCUCCGGGAAGUACUUGUGCAAAGAGACGGGAAUACAUGGCUCUUGCUCCAUAGGUUCCCCAGCAUACGUUGGCUUAGCAGCUUUUCCGUUUCUUUUGGGCUUCCUACUAUUGCAACAACGGUGCUUUCUCCCUUGUUCCACCUUUGGCCUUGUGGCUUGUGGUUUUGGUUUCCUUGUCUUUUUGUAGGUCACCAAUGUCCAUUCUUUUUCGUCAUCAGUAUGUGCAUCUUGGUCGCUUUCCCCCAGUGAUGGUUGUGCAGAAGAUGUCAUGCAGCUUGAGCAUUUACGGGAAUGGUCAGGUGUCACUUGGAGAGGCACGGGAUCAAAGGAUCCAAACGUAAUUGUAGUAGUAUGUGUUGCGGCCGUGUCUUUAAGAUCGAGCUCGAUUUGCCCUUGUUGUGCUAACUUCAUGAUGAGUUCUUUGAGGAUGAAGCAUUUACCAAAAAAAUGGCUCACGAUACGAUAGUACUUGCAGUACUUAGGAUCGUUUACGGAAUUCAUCUCUUCAGGGCGCUUGCAUUCCGGUAACUUGAUCACCUUCUUUUCCAGUAAGUCAUCUAACAUUGCAUCCAUGUUUGAGUCAGGAAAAGGGUACGUCUUUUGCUCUAACUCCCUCAAGGUGUUUUUGUACUUGUAUUAGGUGCGAAGAGGCUCACCUCUCUUUAUCUCUUUUGCUUUGGUCUUGGAGGAGAUCUUGAUGGGCGCAGGGGAGGUCUUGAUAGGUGCGGUGUUGACAGUAAAAGCUUCCUUGGAGGGUUAUUUUCCAGUCCUAUCUACAUUUGGGAAUAACACUUUAUCCUUCUCGAAGUCGGUGAUCAGCUCAUUCUUCCCAUGAUUGGCGAUACUUAGCUCCAUGUCGUGAGAUCGAGUUGCCAGUUCCUCAAAUGUUCUCGGUUUUAUACCUUGGAGGAUGUAAUGUAACCCCCAGUGCAUGCCUUGAACACACAUCUCAAUGGCAGAUGUUUCAGAAAGCUGAUCUUUGCAAUCCAGACUUAAUGAACACCAUCUAUUGAUGUAGUCGAUGACAUGUUCAUCCUUCCACUGUUUCGUACUGGUCAACUCCAGCAUGCUUACGGUGCGACGAGUGCUGUAUAAGCAGUUAAGGAAUUCCCUUUCUAGCUAAUCCCAACUGUUGAUAGACUCAGGCUCGAGGUCGGUGUACCAGUCAAAGGCGUUGCCUUUCAGCGAGCGCACGAACUGCUUGACGAGGUAGUCUCCCUCCGUUCCAGCAUUGUUGCAAGUUUCAAUGAAAUGGGCAACAUGUUGCUUUGGGUUUCCCUUUCCAUCGAACUGCAUGAACUUUAAUGGCUGAUAACCCAUCGGCAUCUUCAAAGCGUCAAUUUUCUUGAAGUAGGGCUUUGAGUAUAGUACAGAGUCAUGUGAGCUUCCUUUGUACUGCGCAUUGAUGAUGCUGGUAAUCAUCUCUUGCAACUGCUGGAUAGAAAGAGAUCUCAUGAAUGCCGCUGCUUGGUCUGGCUCCGGCUUCACAUCGACUUUCUCCACCAGAGGCUCAUCUUCUUCGCCGGCUCCUCCCUUCUUUGGGGCAGGUUUCUCGUCAUCCUAUGCCUCCAGGCGAUUGACAAGUGCAGUGAUUUGCAAGUCUUUUUCUUCCACGGUCCGUGUUAGUCUUGCGAUCGCUUCAUUCAUUUGAGCCAACUGUUCAUCGAUUGAAGUAGCUCCAGUGGUCAUGACUUGGAUGGCUAAACUGCCGCUUGAGUCAGCAUUGGAAAACAUGGAAUCAGAGUACUUCCUUGGGCUUUCAUCCCUUAGCGCCCUUAGUGAGGCCAGGGUGAUCACAGGUUCGUGCCUCGGGUGCUCUUGUUCCUUUGGCAGAGUUGAUGCAGAGGUGGAAGAAGCGGUAGAAAAAGCUCUUGCCUUGCUUCGAGUUAUGAUGCCCGAAAUGACACCACUUGCGGCGAUGACGCUCUUGUUUUUCGUGUUGGUUGCGGGAACCAUUUGAAACUUCCUUGAUGCCAUUUGAUUUUCGAAUGUGUGCUUUGAUUUCCUUGAACGGAGAAAGAGAUGAGAGGUAGAGAUUGUCCCAAUGGGCGUGCCAAAUUUGUAAACACGGAAAUUCCUGAAACAAAUGAGACCAUGGAAGAACAGUUGGAUGUGUGGAUUUGUUGAUGUUGUUGAUCCAAAAUGCCGUUAGGACUUGAUCUUAUGCAAACACGAAAAUUCCUGAAACAAAUGAGACAAGAACAUGUGUACAAAAUAAUAUUUUUUAUUAAUGAUUUUGGGGUUACAAUCUCUCUCAAAUUUGAUCCUCUGAUUCGAUCUCCGUGAGGUGUUGAUUUGUGGAUGUGCAAUUAAUCCAAGGUUCGUCGAGGCUUGAUCUUGGAUGAACGGUUGGAAAUUUCUUCAAAGGGCUUUGGGCUUGAUCUUAAAGGUUGAUGGAUGAACAGAUCUUCAAGGCUUUUGGGCUUGAUCUUGAAGAACUGUUGAUGAACGGAUCUUCAAGGGUUUUUUGGCUUGAUCUUGAAUGAACGGUUGAUGAAUGGAUCUUCAAGGGCUUUUGGGCUUGAUCUUGAAGAACGGUUGGAUGUGUGGAUUUGUUGAUGUUGUUGAUCCAAAGUGAUCUUAGGAUGAACGGAUGAUGAACAAUGAACACUUUCCUCAAGGGCCGUCGGGGCUUGAUCUUGAAUUGGUGAAAGUUCUUCAAGGAUCGUCAGGGCUUGAUCUUGAAGGAGGAUUUGACGAAGAACGAAGAGAACUUUCUUGAUCUUUCGGGAUUUACUUGAGAGCUUUAGAGUUUCAAAGCUUCAAAGGUUUUGGUGUGAUGUGAAUUCAUUAUGAAUUAGUGUCCUAAAACGAAUAAAAUGACCUUGUAUUUAUAGAAUUUUUCAAGGCCUAAUUUGAAUAUAAUAUUCAGAUGAAGUAAAUCGUUUCUGCCAAGUGUUGACACAUGUCCUUAUUUGAUGACUUUUCUUAUUUAUUUUGAUUUUCCGUUUAGUCACACGCUACAUGUAAAAUUUAUGUGACCCAUGAACGUUGAAAUUGUAAUUGUUGGUCAACAUUUAUUUUACUGAAAUUUCGAUGUCUACAUAUACCAUAUAAGUAAAUUAGUGAAUCAACAAAUUCUAAAUGGGUACAUUAAUGAUAUAUAAAUGUACAACAUUUUGAAACUCAUUGAAGGUGCAAAACAAGGAGUAAAUCAUCGAUAUUGACAUGAUUGGAGAAUCCUUGCAAUUUUGUAAAAUGAUUGCAGUAAUGGGUCAACUAUUUCUCUCACUUGCAACUCAUUAAAUUUAUGGUUUUAUUUAGAGGUUAAGAAGUGUGCGGGUAUACUGAACUCCCGAAAAAUAAAAUUAACAAACUGGUGAGUUUAUGUUUAUGAAAUAAGAGUUACAAGUCUAUAAACAACCUUUAAACCAGAAGUUCCCCCGCCAUGGUUGUCGUACUGAACCGCGUGCAUGGUCUCAUUGGCCAUAGUCUCUCAGUUUUAAGUCCAACCAACGUUCCGAAGAGCCGCAGAAACUUGAAGCUGAGGAUUCUAUCAAAUACAGAGCUUAUGAUAGUACAGCACUAGACUCAUUAGCCCAUGUCUAUAGUGGAACAAAUAAUACGCGUGAUUCAUAAUGAUGUGGACUGAUUGACCCUUGUCUGUCUAUUGUGGAACAAACUGAUACGCGUGAUUCAUAAUGAUGUAGACACUACACUGAGUAUAUGGUCCCCAUGUUAAAUGUAGAGUACGUAAUGUGGUCCAUAUGUUAAAUAGACGAUACAAUAAGUCCCCAUGUUAAAUGUACAGUACGUAUGUGGUCUAUAUGUUAAUUAUACAAUAAGUGUAUGCAGUGGUGAAGCUAGAAUUUGCCGAGAAGAGAGGUGAAAUUCAAAAGAGUGCAAGAUUCAAUCGAAGUGGUUGUUUUUAUAUUUGAGAGUGCAAAGUUUUGAGUCAAUAUUCAUAGCAGAAAAUAGUCUCCACCAAAACGAUUGUAAGCGGUAAUAUCAAAGCCAAUAUAAUAAACUUAUAUUAGCUAGGUUUAUAUUCUUAAAAAAGACGCUAGUCAAGUAGUAGACUGGAACCUAGUAGCUAGGCGUCUAAGAGAGAUCUAGGCAGGAGCCUAGUGGGAUUUAAAUGAAUUUCUUUUAUCGUAAAAUAAGCAUUAAACAAUAUUUACAUUACUUUUUAAAAAGUAAUACAACAUUUAUAUAUAAUGUGAGAGUUUAAGAUAAAUCCAGUAGGGGUCUUAAAAGAAAUGAAAAAAUAAAAUAAACAAUACUUGAGUACCCACAAUUUAGUACCAACUAGCAAGACUGCCCGCGCGAUGCUGCGGUGCUACGCCUUGCUCCUGUACAACCUUAUCUACAAAAGGAACAAUGAGCAGCAUUGAAUUUAAUUCCAUCAUCAAUGCCUUGAACUUGUAGGAUCAAAAUUAAUAUAUAUAUUAACAUAGACCCUAAAAUUUCUAUCAUGGAGAAAAAUAUUAACAUUGGGAAAAGGCAAAGAGAGGAAUUCUCAAAAGAAAACUGAGAGUAUGGAUCAUAUUGAAUGGAAAUCACAAACAGCAACCAAAUCAAAAAUGAAGAAUAACAAUUGAAAAGGAAAAUAAUAAUCGAACCAUAACUGAAAAAGCUAUCUGGUUUUGAAUAUUACAAUUAUGAAGCAACUCUUAUAGGAUGAGUGAGUAGAAUUUACAACGUAGUUAGGAGUUGCAAUGCAGUUAGGAGUGUUCCAUCUCGCUAUCAAUUUGCUAAACCAAGAUCAUCUAUACCAAAUGACAACUUUUUACAAUGCAAUGAUGAGAACCACGAAGACCAAUGUUUGGAAUUCACUGAAAAUAUUCCGUUGAAAAGAUUGUAACUUGUGAAGUGCAUAACGAAAAGGAAAAGACAGAGGCUGGUCUCAACAUGUAGAGAGUUGAAAGGAAUUGUGAACUUAAUGAAUUACAAAAUGUAAAAAAAUUGCAUUGCUGAAAAAGAAAUUAAUCCGCAGGAGAAAUUGAGUUAAAAUUUUGGUUGCAUAUUGAAGAGUCAGUUUUGGAACAGAUGAGAAGGAGUGGGAUGUAAUCAAUGGAAACCUCAGUCACUAAGUGUAAGAAAAAUGAAGACAAAGAAUUGCAAAGGAAAAGAACUUCGAAUCCACAUGGAAACGGAAAUUAAUAAGUGGAAAAGCAAUUAAAAGUCGAGGUUAAUCAAUUCCGUACCUUGACAGCAGCGAUCACACGUACUUCUUUCGUAUCAAUCUCAACUUCACUGUAGGAAACCAAAACAGAUUCGGUCUGUAAACAUUUUGGAGGAAAGAUUGGAUAUAGAGAGAUGAAAAUACUGUUCACAAUGAAUAAAAAUUAGUGUAAAUUUGUUUGCAUAUAGUAACUCAAUGAAAGCGAUGGAGGACAUAUUGGGGAUUUGAUAAUGACAUGUUGAGAAAGUUAAUAGCAUUGAUGAAUACAAAAUUUAAACCGUUACUGGUUGAGGCUGAAACAUAAAGGACUAAAGCAAAUUUUGAUCCUAAAUUUGAAUUUUAAAGUUGAAAAAAAAUGAUGGAGAUAUGUUGGAUAUGAUUAUAGACCAGAACGAAGCUACUUUUAUGGUUAUUUACUGUCCAAUAUGAUACUUAUGGUAUAGUUAAAGGUUCUAUAUGUUUCAGUAGUAAUUAACUCUGAUCCUUAUGCAUUCACUUGAGAAAAAUUAGCAUUUAAUGUCUCCAAAGGGAUCCCAAGUACUUAAGACAAAGUUGUUAAAAAAAGUUAAUGAGAAUGCAGAUUGGAAGCCAAAAGUAAAAAUCAAAUGAUUACAGAAUGGAAAUAAAAAUGUUGGAGUUAACAGUAAACAAUUUAAAGAUUAAACCGGUUGAGUAUACAUUGGGUAAUCAAACAUAUGGAAUAAAAGAUUAGAAAGUGAGGAUUAUGGGUUGGAUAAAAGUCAAAUAGAAAUGGAUGAAAAGCCAAAAAAUAGGAAGAAGAAGGCAGGGAGUAAGAAAACUAACAGAAUAUGGAUAUUGCACAAUGGUUAAUAUAUUAAAAACUAAAUGUUUCAAUAGAUUAUAUACCUUGAACAAAAGACGAAAUUGAAGCAUUGGCAGUUCCUAAAAGCGAAGAAGAAUGAGAUGAGACAGUGACAUCUAGCAUCUGAUUGUGGAGACAAAAUCUGCAGUCAUAAAAAGAAAAUUUAAACAUAAACUUUACCUAUAUAUCAAACACUCAAAUAAGAAAAAGAAUAAAUAAAGAAAUGGGCCAUAUGGAGAAAAAAGGUUUACCAGAACUUGGUUGUAUGCCAAUUGAAAAACAUUGUAGGUCUCAACUCAAAGUAUACUGACCACCAUGUCCAGAAGAUGUAAAAAUAACAUCACAAAAUGUAAACACCAUUGAAAACACACAGGUUGCAAUAGGCUUACAAAUGAAAUCUUUAAUUUGUACGAUAUAGAUAAAAAAAGGUUACCAGUUGGUUGUUUACAUACACAAAAAAUAUUCCAGGCAUAUGCUGGAUCUUAGUACCUGGAACUGCUUUUCAACCACAGCCAGCAUUGGGAUACAAAACACUGGCAAAUGCUGGUUUAUGUACAGGCAAAAAAUGUUUUGAAGUUCAGAUCAGAAACAUAUUUACAUGACAGGGAAAUAGCAUAAAUAUUGUUUUAUACAUGUUAACAAAAAACCAUCAUGAUUUUUUAUCAAUGGAGGUCAACUUAUGUUGCUGCAUUGUUCCCUUUCAAGAAACCAACCUAGGGAAAAAAAAAAGAAAUUAAGAGAGUUAGACGGCUGUUAAAUCCAAGUUGUAAAAAAAAUUUAGCAAAAAAAAAAAAAGCAAAGGUAAAAUAUAACAACCUAGCUUUUUUUUGGAGGGGUAGCAUCUAAUUUUCCAGCAGUUGAGGAUGGGUUCUUUUUUAGCAAUUUGAUCAGGACUUCAUCCAACUCUCUUGGAUCCGUGUCUGAAAUUUCCUCUACUCCACUGUUUUAAAUGAGGUAUCAAUGUUAAACAACAUGACUACACACAAAUUUGAAAUUUAUAGUUACAAAGGUAUGGGACAAACCUUUGUUCACCGCCAGUGAAAAGAGCUUGCCUGAUUGAUUCCCUUUUUCGUUUAAACGACUGCUCAUUGGGUUAAACUGUUGAGGUCGAAGAUGAAGCAAUGGUGGAAGACACUAUGAUUUCUCUUGACAAAGGUUGUGGAGUUGCUGGCUGCAUAACUGUGUCUUCAGUCACGUUAUGAAUGAGGAUAUCAUUUGAAUAAAAAGUAUUCCUCCUGUUGCCAAAUCGCAAGUGAAAAAUUUUCUUCUAUCCAAUAAGCCUGAGAAAUUCGUUUGGCAACUGUUGUUGCUCUACCAGUCUUUGAUUUAAUACCAGGUCUUUGCAAGGCAUGCCAAAAAGCUUUUCACCACAUUUACCGAUUAUCAAAGCAUUCAUUUCAUUUGUUUCAUCUUCAAGAAUGAGAUUGACUUUGUACCUACAUUUAGAAACUCAAACCAAUGAGAUUUUUGAGAAUCAGAGGUUUUCACAAACAUAAGAGGUAAAAAAGCUGAAACAAAAUAGAUUGCAAAUGUGGAGUAAUAUUAUAUAAUCAUAUGGUGAUCAUGUGUGACCAAAUAUGAGAAAACAUAAAAAAGAAAAGGAAACAAAGAUAAAUUAUUUGUCAGAAUAGAAAAAAAAUAAUAACAUUUAGGUUUAUACAACUGAAGUUGAACAAAAACAUAAAGUAAAGAGUGAACAAUGGUAACAAAUUUUUUUUUAAGGAACACCAUGUUUGGCAACCAUUGUGUAUAUCUAUUAUAAAAAUGCUUUCAUAAUCUGGAAUUUAAAAAAAAAAUAAGUGUGAUGACAUAAAUAAUUAUACCAAAAUUGUAAAUUUUGCACACAAUGUGAAUAACCCUAUCUAUAUUUAUUUUUCUCAAUUGGUUAAUGAGAACAAACAACAGGGUAUCAAGAAAGAGUAAACUUUUUGUUAGCCUUGCUUCAAAUAUUUGAUUUAACAUUACCACAGCGUUGGUAUUUGGUUUGGAUGUUUUUGACAAAUGAGCUGCCCAAUGGUUGGAUCCUUGUGCACCUGUUUCAAGCAGUUCGGGCAAGCACUGUACCACUAGUUGAACCGCAUGUCAAAACGCUUGACAGAUGCUCUACACACAAAUGUAUCAUCCUGUGAUAUAUUUUGUCACAUAGCCGUAACAGCAAGAACAACAGAACUCAGUUUCAUUAAAAAGGUUAAAAUGCAAUGGUAAGAUUUUAAGAAUACACAAAAAAUAAACGUUAUGUUUUAUACCUUAUGCAAAUCUGGAUCCAAAAAAGCCAAUUCAUCAAUUGUAGCUUUUUUAGCAGUCUGCAAAAUUUGAGCUUCGUUUCGUUGGAUUGCAGAGGGAGAAAGUAUGUCCAGAGCUUCUUUACAAUCACAAAACCUGCAGGAUUCAAAACACUUUAUCAGUUUAACAAUUAUAAAAAAAAAAAUGAUAACAAUUGUUUUCCAAUUAAAAAAAGUGUUAUUUUGUUUUAAAAACGAAAAAUUUACUCACACUGACUUAUACGUAUUCACUUCGGGGAUGUCUAGGUCAAUAAAAAACACAGACGAACCAGUACUACUCAAAUAAAUUUUUUUUGUGCGUUGCAACCACACCACAGAGAAAAAGAUUAAUGAACAAUAUUAAUGACAUUAACAAAGUUAAAAAAACAAAAGGGAAUACAAAAGAGACGAAACAAACAGAAAUAAAGUAAGAAAACGACUAAUAACAGUGACCAACCAGUGAUAGAUUGAGACAUUUGUAAAUUAACUGGCCAAGAAGGAAAGAAACAUAUAAUCAGAAAUUGGACGAAAGAAAGAUAACAAAAGUUUAGGACAACAAAACAUCCAAAUAAUGUAAAGAAACAACAUGUGUACACAUCACAAUAAACAGACUAAAAGUAAGUAUUUAACAAAAUGGAAUACCGAGGUAGAUCUUGACUUUCAGACUUGUGAAAACAACAAUGACUGACAAAGAAAAUUCCUCUGCUGACAAAGAAGAAAAAGCUUCAGCAACGUCUGCCCACAACAUAACCAUUAGUUCCUCUUUUCUGUCGAUAAAGAAACGACAAAUAAAUUUUUGACCUUUUUAUACCACCAAAGCAACAAAUAUUGAAAACAGUAUGUAAGAAUAGGGAUAAGAAGUGAAAAAUAACCUAAUAUUUUGGAUAACCACAUCACACUUGUACAUAACCCUUUGAUUAAUUUGUUUAGGUUCCAGCCGCUGCACAACGCUUAUAUGACCAAUGACAUCUUACCAUUUGAAAAAACAAACAGAUGCACAUUAUUAAAAUCCAUUUUAGGAAGUAAACACACACUUUAAGACACGCACAUGCACAUAGACAUUAAUAGUACCUGUGAGGAUGUCAACUCUGUUUAAGCGAGGGUAGAGUGUGUUAUAGUCUUGUAGGAAAAAUCGAUGGCGAGGGAUGGGCGGAAACACACUUGCUAAUUUUCGGAAAGCUGUUUUCGAGGUGAACAAAACCUGAGUUUCAUGCAGCACCACCUUGUAUUGUGCCCUAAUUCUAAUAGUUUGAAAUUCGGUGAUUUCAUAGCAUGCACCAUCUUCAAUUUUUUAAGCCAUGACAUCAUAAUCAACAUCCAAUGUAGAGGCCUCAACCGCAUGUUGCUUCACAUCGUAUUAAAAAAGAGGAAAAAAAGCCAAAAAAUCAAUUAACAAAUAAAUGAAAACACAAAUCAUACACUCGACAACACAAACAACAUGACAUGAAUCAAAUUGUUACCAUGAGCAAAUAGAACGAAUGAACGCAGUUAAAUUAUUUCAAACAAAAUGUAAAAAAAAAAAAUCCAUCAACACAUAAAAGUUUACAACAGAACAUACCGCAUGGCAAAUAUAAGGAAAGAAAGCCAAAAAUUGAGGGAACAAACAGAGGGAAAACACAGGUGAUGCACACAUUUCGCUGAUGACAACAUAUCGAACUCUAACCUUCUAACAUGUAAAAAAGCAUGGCAACAUAAACAUUAUCCAGUGAGUUAAUAUAAACAUUAUCCAGUGAGUUAAUACUCAUUGACUCCAACUUUGGGUAAAAUAAUUAGACAAUUAUUUCUCACCGCUUCAUCAACCAAUAUGCAGUGCAGGUUUGUAGACUUUUGAACGGUUCCUGGAAUCGUCAAUUUCCAAAUCCUGCAUAUGCGAAUUUUGAUUUUGUCCGCCUUUAUGUAUGGUAUUAACUGAUUAACAGGAGUUGGGCGCACAGUUUCCAUUUAUCCUAUCAAAAGGGAAUUUCAAUGACACAUCAGAAACUCCCACAAAACUACAAAAAGAAAAAAAGACAAAAACUAUAAACGAUCCACAAUUCAUUCACCCAUGGUCUGAAAGGAAGACAUGGAGAGUUUAACAACCAUUUGUACUUUCGCUAUCUUUUCCACCCUGUCUUGCAUGCCUAUACAACAAUUGCACAAAUUUUAUAUUGUCCAAUAAAACUAAGGACGCAAAACAGAGACCCAGACUGCAAAUCCCGUGAAUGACACCUCCAAAGAACAAAUAAUAUUGACGAAAAGAACGGGAUACCCAAGUUUUAACACCAAGAAACAAACACCUCAGCCACCACCACUAAUAGCAACAACUACAACAAAGAAAUCACAAAGUUAAUGACCACACGAAAAAGAAAUGACAACAACAAAAUAGCCGACACUAAGACCGCACAAAAACUCAAGUACAGAAACACCAAGCCUAACACAUUCAUGAACCACCACGAAUCCAGUCACAUAACACAAAACAAACCUCCAUCUAAAAAAAGAUACAAAUUUAUGUCAUCCUCUGCAAAUCAAGGCUGAACCCAAAGGCUUCAAAGAAACAAAUCCCACGAUGAAAGAUUUAGUGUCACACUAAAACAACCACAUCCCCAAACCAACUACCUCAUAAUAUAAUUUUUUGCUUUCGUUCUCCACCAACGAAAUGAAAAAUCAUUCUAUCCUCUUUCAUUUCACCAUGAAUCACAUGUACAAAUCCAACCUCUUUCAUUUGACCACAAAUCUAUAUAAUGGCAAUCCUCAGCUUUCGUGUUUUGGAUUGAAGAAAAAAUGGUAAACAUGGAAAAAGUUACAGCACUAAUGUUGCACACAUCUCCUGAACAUCUAAGAAAUGGCAAUCGGCUAUUUUCGCUAAUCGUAGAAUAAGUAUACCAUUUUUUAUACACCUUACUGAAGGAUAAACUGAAUUCUGACUGAGUCAAUGAGUAAGAUUAUACGAAUAAAGAGUUACAUUCUAUAAUGUACUAAAUAUUCCUACUAUACCUUCAUCCUGCGAGAUUAAGAAUACUUGAGAACGAUGAGUUGAAAUCAAUACGCCAAUUAUUGCUUUACACCAAGACUAAAGUGUGAAUGCAAUUUUGUACUUCGCAAAAUGAACUCUAUCCACUGCAAAUCCAUAACUAAGACUAAAUUGUCAGUGCAAUUAAUAGUGUGACUAAUCAUCAAUCAAUGGCAUCACCCUCAUACGAAGAAAGGGAGACUCUAAAAAACAACACACCCAUAACAAUUUGCUUAAAUAACUAACGGAUCAAAACAAUGAGAUGGCCAAAAGGAAAACCCACCAAACAGCAAAACGCAAACUCUCUACCUCCACCACUCAUGCCUAACCACACUUCUUAUACCCCCUCUCUCUUUUCCCAACCUCUGCUUCAGCAAAUCACAUAACCAGACAUCUUUCUACACAGGCGUCGACUGCUGCAGCAUUCUAAAACCCUAAAAUCUAUUUGAACGCAUGAUUCAAAAGGACAACAUCACCAAAAUUAAACGAUAAACCCAAAAAACGAACGAAGCCCAUACAUAUUUAAACGCAACAGAAGAAAACUCAUUUUCCAAACUAACAUAAAAAUAUGAAAACGAACAUAAAAAUCUAAAAAAAAAUCACGCACCGCAGGGUUCUCCGACGUAGCAAAGAGGCACAGAGCAGAGGAGAGGACGAUCGAGAAGAAGCAAACACAAACGCGCGCGAAACCAAAGCAAACAGGCAAGAAGAAAGCAAAAGAGAAGGCGGGAGCGAAAGACAGCGACGCAACAAAAAAAAUAAGAAACGGGAAACAAAAACGAAACAAAAUAGAGCAAAAAGAGCAUAACAGGAUGAUCAACACGUGGCAGAUCCAAUCCCCACCUUCUCCCUGCAUCAAUCCCUCGAAAACAAUGAGAACCCAUUAUAAACCCAAAGGGCAAUUCGGGCAGUCAAAAAACACCCACCAACCAUGGACGAUGAUCAACACGUAGCAGAUGCAAUUCCCACUUUCUCCCUGCACCAACCCUCGAAGAGAACCCAUUAAAACCCCGAAGGGCAAUUCGGCCAGUCGAAAAACACCCACCAAUCAUGGGCAAAGCCGACAUUUCAAUGGAGAAAAGAGGGAGAACAACGUCAAAACACAAACCAAGCAAGGGGCAUUUCCGUCCCGGCACUAUUAAUGAACAGUGCCAUCCGAAACCCAGUUUUAGUAUAUAUACUUUUACUCACUAGAGUUUGUGGCCCAAUAAAAUUACGACAGCUGUCAUUCUCAACUCUCUAACCAAAUAACAACAAAUCUAUUAUUCUAGCAGCCAAACACUUUAGGGGUGAGUUUACAAAUCCAUAAUCAGAUUGAAGGAAAUUGAAUUGAGGAGAAAUCAAAUUAAGGAGGAAUUGGAUUGAGAAUGAAACAAAAUUAGAUUCUGGUCAAAGUUGUUUACUAAACUAAUUGUAAUCGGAAUACAAAUGAUAUUAGUUCCAUAUAUAUUGUUUACUAGUUCACUAAAAUCGGAAUUAAAACUAACUUGAUUACUAAAUUGUCCUUGUUUAAAUAAAUUAUGUUUAUGCUAUAAUUAUUGAAAAUUAAGUUUAUCUAAUUAAAUAUAGGCUUAUUAUGUUAACACCCCACAUUUUGUUGAAUAAACUUCACAUACUUAAUGCUCCUCACAUUUGUUUUUUUAAUUAAAACUUAUCUUAAUAAACCCCACAUACUUCCCAUAACACCCUCACACCCCACAUUCUCAACAUACACCUUACAUUUUCUACAUACACCUCCACAUUCUUCAAAUCUUAUAAUUAUCAUUCUUGCUUCUAUGGUUUUCAUUAUUCUCCAUGGAAAUCUUGAUCUUUCGUUUCCUUCUUUUGGUGUUUGUCCAACAGACAGUUCUGCUACUUCGACUUUCUCUUUGCUUCCAUUUAACAUGUUGAACUACCUCCUUUCGAUGACUCUUGUUAACGUAGGGGACUGUGCUGGCAUCUUGGUUGGGAGUGAUGGUAUUCACUCGCAAAGUGGAAAAAAAUGAAAUAAAACAGGCUUCGGGGGUUUGGACGCCUCAACGAAGGUUAAUGGCUUUACCUGUUCAAAUACUGGCUAAUCAGCAUUGAGAGUAUUACAGUAUGAGGACAGAAAAAAAACAUGGAUUGAGAUAAUUAGGAAAUAUAUAACAACAUGUGAUUCAAAAUAAAAAUAUGUCCCAGCGUUGUAAAUGGAUCGAGAAGCAUGAUUAGUUGGGACAAGGUCCUAUUAUCAUUUAGGUUUAUAUUAGACUUGCCAUGGGGAAAAUGAAUCAAUGUUACCCUUCAUUUCCAAAACUGUGAUGCUUUUGACAGCAUAUGCAAGCAUACCAAAACAUGUUUAUCAAUCACUGGUUACCUUUUAUUUUAAACUAAUACUAGAAGAAUCCUUGAUAGAUUAGAGACUAAUGUAUAUACUUGUAUUGAGAACAAAAUAAUAGUAAAUUGAAAAAUAAAAUUAAAAGAAUACAUAAAUUACAAGUAUUCAACAAGUUUAGAGUUUAAAAACACAUUAAUAUAAACAUAUAUUAUUUUGGGCCCAAAAAACAUGGCAUAUUAUAAUCAUAAAAGGCCUAGCCCCACCAAAAUAUUUACUUUUGCAUUCAUUUCACCUCUUACCUUCGUCAGUCGUUUAUGCAAAAUCCGAAGAACCAUAAAUGGUCAAAUGCAUCAAGAACCCAAAGAAAGCCAAAAGAAAGGCCAAGGUUGGCUCCAAAUUCCACUACCUUCUUCGUUGUUUGUUUAAUUAUUUUAAUAAAGUUAGGGUUGUGUCUUAAAUUUUUGUUUAAGGCUCAAAGAAAAUAGGUGGAUCUCCUUCCUCUUCGAGACCAUCGAUGCUGAUGAAGGUAUGGCAACCGCCUAGUGGGCCGCCUAGCACCGCCUAGACCGCCUAGCGGCUGCCUAGGCGCCCGCCUAAGCCAUCACCGAAUUUCUCUAACAUUUCGCUCCAAAUCGCCUCGAAAGCCCAACGCCUAGUGCGUAGGCAGCCGCUUAGGCCGCGUUUUUGAACACUGGUUAGAAUGCAACUUAAUUAAAAUAGAUCAAAGUAUGGCUUUGGUAGGUGAGAAGCCACCAACAUCCAUAUUUAAUAUAGGGACCAUACUUAUUGUAGGGCCUACAUCAUAUAACCACCACAGGGUGGCUCAGUGGUUGGGUACGAAUUCCAGGCUCGUAUUCUGCACGGUACGUCUUGAGUUCGAUUUCUAGCGCUGGUGAAUCAUACGAUGGUGGUAAAAGGGAGACUAAAAUUCCUCUAUGAGUUUUCCUGGCUCCCAAAAAGGUGGACUACCAUGACGAAGCCAACUAGUCCCUUUGUCGAUCUUGUAUUUCCACAAACUAAUUCAUGUUAUUUGUAUUUUUUUUAUCUUGUAUUUCCACAAACUAAUACACUACUACGAAACCAUUUACUAGUGUCGCUAUGAUAACCGACAAGAAACGUAUAUUACUGUCAUAUAUUAAGCAAAAUCCGACAAAAAAUGGAUGCAGUGGCGGUUAUAAUAAGUGACAAAAUUGCUAGGGUUAGGAAAUGAAUUUUCUAACAGAAAAUACUCUAAAACAGACAGAAAUUGUGUCGAAUAUAACCGACAGAGAAUACAUUAAUACUGAAUAAAUAAGAGCAUUCUCUGUCGGAUAAAACCGAUAGAAAAUAUAUUAAUAAAAAGAAAUAUAAACCACUUUCUGAAUCAUUUCUUUCCCUUUCAAGUUGGCCUUCCCUGCAUUCACUGCAUUUUCCAGCUUUGAGAUGUGCAACGUUCCUCUAAGGUACACCAUAUUCUUCAAUUCUUCAAGUUUGUUUCCUAUUUCGCAGCUAACCUAAAUAUAUAUAUAGACAGAAGUUUGACCCCCAACAACAAGAAAAGGAUUAGAAAGACAGAUAAAUAUAUUUGAAAAAGAAAAGAAAAGACAAACCGAAAAUUUGGGCAAGUUAUGCAACCGCCUACACUACUCCCGGGGGUUACAGUUCAGGCGGUUCUCAUGUUCUCCGACACUCUCCUUUCUUCACCACCUUUAUCAUCAUCAACCUUGUCUCGUUGAUCAGCUCAUUGUCUUUUCUCGUCACAUUUCUCUCGAUCUUGACAUCUCAGUUUGAGUACAAAAACUUCCAUCAAUCUCUUCCGCUCAGGCUACAUUUAGGAUUUGCCUUUCUUUUCUUCUCGCUAGGGACGACCAUGCUCUCGUUCACUGCUACAGUUGUGCUCUUGAUUCAUCUCGAUGAGGAAUUGACAACGUCUCUCCUUUAUGUUGUUGCAUUUUUUCCUAUGUAUGUAUUUGGGUUCAUACAGCAACUUCCUUUGUAUGCUAGAUUUUCUCAUGCUUUGAUAUUUCUAUUUAAGAAAGUUAAGAAGUUUAUAAUUUCUAUUUAAAACACAAACUAAACAUAAUACAAAUAAUUUAAAACGUACUGGUUUCAAAAUGUUGCUUCUCGAAUUGUUCAUCCAUGGUGAUUGAAGCGAGAAGGAGAAGGGGAGAAGAGAAGGAGAAUGAAAUUAGGAGAGGAGAAAAGGGAGAAGGAAGGGGGAAGGGAGAAGGCACCGGUGCAAGGAAGAGAUGGAGGGGUUUUAUUUUGGAAAAUUUUCAUUACUGUCAGUUAUAACCGAUAGAAAAAAAUGGCGGCAAAAAUCCCCCCUAAAUUCCCUCCCAAAAUUUUAAAUUCCCCCCCAAAAUUUUGUUACGAUUUAAAAAAAUAAAAUAAAUUGAACGGAGAUAUGCAUUUUAUGAAACUAGUUUCCAUAAUCUAACCGUCAAACUUGUUUGUAGAUACUACUACAAGAUCGUAUACGUAAAAAAUCGCAAAAAAAAAAAAAAAAAAUCAGAGAUUAGGUAACAUAACAAAAGUUUUUUUACGGUUAUAAACGAAAAAUCUCAAUUUAACGGUUAUUUUAGCUUCGGUUUUGAUGAUUUUUUUACAGCUACACUCCUCGAUCCUAUAAGAAUGCAAUGAACGAAUUUGAUCUUCAAUUUAAAAUAUUUACACUAAUGGAUAUCACAAAAUCUUAUUUUAUACUUAAUGGAAGUAUAAUAUUAACUCUAAGUGUUUGUUUAAUCUACCGUUUUGACGCGAUAUGCAUUCUACGAAACUUUUUUCAACGAUCCAAUCGUCAAACUUAUUUGUACACACUUCGAGAUAGCAUACGUAAAAAAUCAUAAAAAAUAAACAUUCAAAGAUUAUGUAACGGAACAAAAGUUUUCGACGGUUCUAAACAAAAAAUCACAAUUUAACGGUUAUUUUAGUUCUGAUUUUAAUGAUUUUUUACAGCUACACUCCUCGACCCUAUAAGAAUGUAAUGAAUAAAUUUAAUCUUCAUUUUAAAAUAUUUAUACUAGUGGAUACCACAAAAUCUUAUUUUAUACUUAAUGGAAGUAUAACAUUAACUAUUUAAGUGUUUAUUUAAUCUACCAUUUUGACGUGAUACACAUUCUACAAAACUUUUUUCAAUGAUCUAACCAUCAAACUUGUUUGUACACACUCCGAGAUCGCAUACGUAAAAAAUCACUAAUAACAAACAUUCAGAUAUUAGAUAACAGAACAAAAGUUUUCGACAGUUAUAAACGAAAAAUCACAAUUUAACUGUUAUUUUAGCUCCAAUUUUGAUGAUUUUGACAGAUACACUCCUUGACCCUAUAAGAAUGUAUUGAACGAAUUCGAUCUUCAAUUUAAAAUAUUUACACUAGUGGAUACCACAAAUCUUAUUUUAAACUUGAUGGGGAAGUAUAACAUUAAUUCUAAGUGUUUGUUUAAUCUACCAUUUUGAUGCGAUACGCAUUCUACGAAACGUUUUUCAAUGAUCCAACCAUCAAAAUUGUUUGUACACAUUCCGAGAUCGCAUACGUAAAAAAUCGCAAAAAACAAAGAUUCAGAGAUUAGGUAAUGGAACAAAAGUUUUCGAUGGUUAUAAACGAAAAAUCACAAUUUAACGGUUAUUUUAGCUCCGAUUUUGAUGAUUUUUUACUGCUACACUCCUCGACCCCUAUAAGAAUGCAAUGAAUGAAUUUGAUCUUCAAUUUAAAAUAUUUACUCUAGUGGAUAAAUCUUAUUUUAUACCUAAUGGAAGUAUAACUUUAACUCUUAAGUGUUUGUUAAAUCUAUCAAUUUGAUAGGAUAUGCAUUCUACGAAACUAGUUUCAACAAUCCAACCGUCAAAUACGUUUGUAUAUACUUUUAGAUAGCAUGUGUAAAAAAUCGCAAAAAAAUAAAAUAUAAAAACAUUCAAAGAUUAGGUAAUGGGACCCUGAGUGAAAAAAAAAAAAAAAAACAUUCAGAGAUUAUUCUGGCAGCUGCCCAAAAUUUUGCUUUGUUCGUGUCGGUUAUAUCCGACAGGGCCAUGAGUGAAAAAAAAAUAUUUAAACCAUGUGUUUAUUUAUUUAUUUAUUAUUUUUAAUCAAUAUAAAAUUUUAAAAUAAUAAAAUAGUCAAUUUCUGUAGGUUAUAACAGUCAGAAUACUAAAAUAAUAACCGCUAGAAACUAAAAUAAUAAAAUAGUCAAUUUCUGUCGGUUAUAACCACCACCAUUAACUUAAAAACCGUCGGAAUAUGUUAAAAAUAUUUUAAAAAAAGAAUUCAAAAAUACUGGCAGUUAUAAUAAUUUUAUGGCUAUUGCAUCCGACACUAAAUAUCUGUCAGGAAUUUAUGUUGAAUAUAACCGACAGGAUUUCAUUGUUACCCGACACUAACUGAAUGAUGUGUCGAAUAUCUUUUAUCCGACAUAAUGACUUAUUAAACCACCACCAUCAUCCGACACCUAAAGCUAAUAUUGUAGUAGUGAUACACACGUUAUAUGUUGUCGGUAUUUUGUUGAUCUUGUAUUCUUGUUGAAAUUUCAUCUUCUAGAAAAUUAUGUUGGCCAGUCAUAUUUUUGUGACACUUAACCUAACUUUGUGAUAAAGUUGCAUAUUUCGAGAAACGAAAACUAUAAUGAACAACUAGCAUUUGCCUACACAUUUUGUGUAUAUGAACACGUUUUUUUUUAGAAAAUGAGAAUGAGAGAGAGAGAGAUAGAACGUGGAGGGAGUUGGAGGUUUUUUUUUGUUUUUUUUUAUUUUAAAUAUUGGAGGUAUUUUAACAUUACCUGUAGGUGAGGCUUCAAUAAAAAAAAAAAAAAUUUGAACCUGUGAAAUUACAUUAUUGCUCAUCAUUUUUUUUGUGUGAUAGAAGACUAAGUAGUCUUUUCAUCCUCUUUUGGUUGACAAAAAGGGUUUCAUUAAUUAAUAGAGAUAGGAAUGAAAAAAAUAACAGAAAAAAUAAAAAAUUUAAGGAAAAAUUAAUAUAUGAUUCCUAGUUUUUAAUGUUCAUAUAUUAACUGAGACUUUAUUAGUUUUUAGAUUUUGAUCAAAGUCUCUAGCAUUAAUGUAUUAAUAAAUUACAUGUCAGUUACAUAAUUUUUUUAAAUAAAAAUUAGUAAUUGAUUUAGGGUUUUAAAUAAAAAUUAAUUUUCAAUUCAAAAACUUUCCAAAACAUAAAAAAUAAAAUUAGAAUAAGUUUGUACCCAUUAAUGUUUUAUAAAAAAAAAAAUUCAAAUUUUCAAUCUUAUAUGUAACCAUUUAUAUAAUUCUUCUAUUUCUCUAAUCUUAAAUGUACUUAUUCUUAGAUAUACCAAUUUGUUAUCUAUAAAAUGUACCUUUUUAUAUAUAUAAAAUUCAUUCAAUCUUUUUUCUAAUUCAUUUUUUAAAUUUAUAUGGGUACAUUUUAUUUCGUUGAUUUGAUAAUGAAUUCAUGUCAAAUUUAAUAGAAGAAAUUUAAUAUGUACCCAUGUUUUGGUGCAAUAAUUUUUUUGUUAGUUUUGAUGAACAUACCCAUGUAUGUGUGUACACACACAGACACACACAGACACACACACACACACACACACACACACAAUAUAUAUUCUUUAAUAUUUUUUAUCCCAUAAAUUAUAGGUUUUAUUUAAAAUCUCAUUAAUAUAAAUAACUACAAAUUUCAUUUUUAAUUUAAAAAUAAAAUAACCUAUAUAGAAAUACAUUAUUACAUUAAUGUCAGGGAUUUCGAUAAAAAACUGAAAAUCACAAAAGUUUCAGUAAAAAAAUAUUGAUAAUUAGGGACCGCAUCCAAAGUAUUCCAAAAUUUAAUGACUGAGGCAAUAUCAGAUUCAAAAUUUAAACUUUGGCUUUUUAAUUUAAAAACCUAAAUUUUUAAAAUAGAAAUUUUAGCGUGCGAGCAAAUUUCAGUUGAUUCAUGGAGAUAUUUCAUCGAACACUUAGUGAGUUUGUUGUCGUCAGAUGAACUAUAUUACGAAUAUGUUAACAGAUAUUGACAUUUGCUAAAGCUAUAUAAUGAGUGCUAUUGAUAGCAUUCGUGGGUAGAUUUUGCUUCGUGAUCAUGGCAAAGCUUCAACAAGUUCUGAACUCAAUUGCUUUAUUAUAUUCUAUGCGUUUUCUUCAACAAAGUUAGGCUGAAAGAAUCGUUCACAUAAGAUAUUUGUCUCCUGAACAAGUCUUUCUUCCUUAAUUUUUCAAUAAUGACAAAAAAAAAGAAAAAAAAGCUACGAGAUAAUCAUACUAACUGAACAAGUUGCUCCCAUACAACAGUUAUCAGUGUUGACUCGUCAUGCGCACAAAGCUUUCGAACAACUAUAACAAAAAAGGCCCACAUUUCUCAAACUGUCUCGGAAGUUUGACUACCAUGGCGGAGAGCUUCUGCAUGCGGUUCAAGUACAACCUGCUAUGGAAGUGUUUAAAGAUUGAGAUGAAGUGGUGAUUCGUUAAGUAAAUUUUAUUUUUGUUGCAAACAUUGUUUUAAAAACUCCCAUCUAAGUGCUAUUCGGCUGACCACCACCCCGAUUAAUCCCUAAACAUUUGAAAAUAAAAAAUGGUACCUAAACCUGCCUAAGCGCCUACCUAGAUCGCCUAAGCGCCCUAGCCCACCCAAACCUACCUAGGUCGUGGCUCACUUCGAAAAUAGAUAACUUUCGUUUUGCUUUUUAUUUUUUUCAAUAAAUUGUAAAAGACUAGUCAAAUACUUAGAUUAACACAUAUUAUAUGCUUGUUCUCCAUGUUUUUAUUAUGAUUCAAUACUUUAUAAUAUGUAUGUCAUUAUAUUUUGUAGUUUAUCGUGAAAGUAUAUAUUUUUUAAGUAUAAACGUAGACACUUAUUUAUAUAAUAUAUAAUAAAUUUACUUAAAUCUGUUUUUUAUUAUGAUUCAAUACUUUAUAUAUGUCAUUAUAUUUUGUAGUUUAUCGUGAAAAUAUAUAUUUUUUAAGUAUAAACGUAGAUACUUAUUUAUAUAAUAUAUAAUAAAUUUACUUAAAUCUGUUUAAUCCUCCUAGGCCCUUGCCAAGCCGUCUAGCAUCUGACCCCAGGCCACCGCCUGGCCUAGCGUGUUUUAGAACUUUAGUUGCAAUACAUUGAGGUUCCGAUCCCCGCCCUGAAGAAGAAUGAGGUUUUGCUGAAAUUGGAAGCAGAUAGUCUCAACCAGUUGAUUGGAAAAUCAGAAAGGCGAGCUGCGGCCUCUUUUCCCCGGCAAAUUCCCUCAAAUACCUGGGAAUUCUGUUUCUCAUGUGAUUUGUGAUGUUUUUAUAAUUUUUUAUCUUCAACAUUCGUAAAUAAAACUUAUGCCAGAACACUAAAUAUAAUCUCUCAUUUGUGCUCGAUUCGUACGUGGAACACGUCCAGCGUUGUGGGUUGAUGGAUUAGUAGGAUUCUGUAACAAAAUUAUGUUGAAGGAUGAGUUGUUUUGGGAAUUUAAGCAUUCAAUGUCUUUGAGCUCUAGGCUGCUAUCUGUAGUGCAAAAUCUUUAGUGUAGACGGUUUUUAAUUCUCCUCUCUCUCUCACAUGACAUGACCAGCAACUGAUGUGGCCGGAGAGGUUGUAGAAGUUGGACAAGGUGCCAAAAAGUUCAAAUUCGGUGACAAAGUUGUUGUACUGCUCCGCCAUUUCGUAAGUGCUCGAUCGACUUAUUCCCCUUUUCUCUAUGAGCUACUUGUUUAUGCUUAGGAUUUUCACAUGUAAAAUUCAUGUGUUUGAUAGAGUGGAGGAGGACUGGCUGAGUUUGCUGCAACUAAUGAGAGAUUAAUGGUUGCUAGGCCACCUGAAGUUUCAGCUGCCGAUGGCGCAUGCCUACCGGUUGCCGGUCUCACAGCUCCCCAGGCUCUCGCCCAAUGUGGGGUCAAGCUUGACGGAACUGGUCAAAAUAAAUAACAUAUUGAUCACUGCUGCCUCUGGUGGCGUGGGGCACUAUGCAGUCCAACUAGCAAAGCUUGGGAUACUAACGUUACAGCCACAUGCGGGGCGUGUAACAUCGAAUUGGUCAAGAGCUUAGGGGCAGAUGAGGUUCUUGAAUACAGGACUGCGGAUGGGGCAGCUCUAAAGAGCCCAUCUGGACGAAAAUAUGAUUUUGUAAUCGACUGUGGAAAAGGCAUUCCUUGGUCAACUUUUGAGUCUAAUUUGAAUGCAAAAGGGAAGGUUGUAGACAUUUCUCCGAUGUGAGUUCUUUAGCUACUUUUGUAAUGAAGAAACAGCAGGUGCCACUGCUCAUGAUUCCCAAGGAUGUGAACCUAGAGUAUCUUGUUAAGUUGGUGAAGGAAGGGAAGCUGAAGCCAGUGAUUGACUCGAUGCAUCCUCUGAGCCAGGUUGAAGAUGCUUGGCUUAAGAGUAUCGAUGGCCAUGCUACUGGGAAUAUCAUUUUAAGCUUAGCUGAAGCAUUUAGUUGAACAUUUCCAAACAAAGAUCAUGCCUUUCAAUACCAACAAUUAUACAACUAAUCGCGGUUUGUCUGUCAUAUCAACGCAAACAGAGCAGACAGAAAGUAACUGGAACCCAAAUGAAAAGGACAAGGAUUGUCUGCCCUCCUCGUUCCCGUGCCCUCCUGUUUUGUGUGAUCACGGUAAAACCACGUCAACAUUUUAUAUUGUUUUUUUUAUAGAGAUAAUAAGACAAAAAUGAAUAGUAAUAUAAAAUGUUGACGUGAGUUAACCGUGACCACACAAACAGGAGGGCAUGUGAGGGCAUGGAAACAAAGAGGGCAGACAAUUCUUGUCCAAAUGAAAAACCUCGAAACAUUUUGGUCUCCCAAGUUAAAAUUUUGUUAGGCCACAAUAUAAAGUCUCGUUGCACUUGCAAGAAGCAAGAUCAAAGCCUUUUCCUUUGAUUAUUUCAAUCUUACAAACAACUCUGCAAGUCAAAUUUUUUAAUUUCCUGCCCCCAUAAUCUUGUUCAAAUCUUCGAACGUAAGAAACCAACUUAAAAGCCUAAUUCCCUACAUCAAUUCCAAUCCUAAACAUGAAAAUACAAACUUAAAAACUAUCGAUAUACCCUAAAAAGAACCAAAUUUUAGAAUGUAAUCGUAUCAGUUUAUAGUAUUUUAUUAAAGCACAACAAUCAACUCCACUCAUCUAUCUAACCCUGGUUCCACUGUAACGAGUGCAUUUUCGAUCACCACCCUUGAGAACUCCCGUUGAUUUCUUUUCUUAUGUCUGUACUUUCCUGCUGUUUAUGAUUCAUUGUUAUUACUCUGCGCAAAAUUGUUAAUUUUUUCAAAGUACUCAAAGUAUUAGCAUUAACUUACCAAAAUUUGAAAGUAACUGUUGUGGCCUAUUUAACUGAAGGGGAAUAGGGGGUGAAUAGGGGGUGAGGCAAGAGAGAGUAUGGAGAGAGUGUAAUGAUUUAUUAUGUGAAUGUUACUCCCUCUGCAGUGUCUUUAUUUAUAGUCGAGAAUAAGGAGAGGAUUAACUUGUCCUUCAAGUAAAUACAAUCCUAUAGGAAAAGUAUAACUAGCAACCAAAUGUAUCUAGGAUUUUUCAAUCCAAGAAUAUCUAUGACUUGCGAUUUUAUUUGUAAAACACUGCAAUUCAAAACAAAGCAUGGCCAAAACUAAGGCUCCACAAUUAUCUUUCCGGUAGCAUGGCCAUCGCUGAUCCUAUCCCAAGCGUCCUCCGCCUUGGCCAGGGGAUACUUUGAGUCAAUUAUAGUCUUCAGCUUCGCUUCUUUCACCAACUUAAUAAGAUACUCAAGGUUAUCAGCCUUGGGAAAUAAGAACAGUGGCACCAGUUGCUUCUUAGAAAAGGUAAGUUUCUUCAGUGCAACGCUAAACAGAGAGCUGGGGGUGGGAGUAACAUCUAUUACCUUACCGUUCGCACUCAAAUUAGGCUCAAAAGUUGACCAAGGAAUGCAUGUUGCACAGUGGAUCACAACAUCAUAUUUUCGACCAGAUGGACUCCUAAGAGCUGCACCUUCUGGGGUCUUGUAGUCAAUAACCUCAUCAGCCCCUAGGCUUUUGACCAGUUCAAUGUUGCGGGCACCACAAGUGGCUGUAAUAUGAGUAUUUCCGAGCUUUGCCAACUGAACCGCGUAGAGACCUACACCACCUGAAGCAGCUGUGAUCAGGAUGUUUGCUUGCUGACCACUUCCAUCAAGCUUGAUCCCAGCAGUUUGUGUAAGAGCCUGGUGAGCUGUGAGACCAGCAACGGGUAAUCCUACAGCGGUGGCUGCAGAAACUUCCGGUGGCCUUGCAACAGUUAAACUCUCCAUUGUCACGGCAAAUUCAGCUAGUCCACCUCCAGUCUUUGAUUCAUUGUCGAAGAACAGAAUGAGACAAAAAGGGUCAUGGUAUGUAUCAAUGAAUGAUGCAUCAGAUAUCUAGGUGACACAUUCUGUCACUGGGUUUGCAUAUUAAGCACACCAAAAGUGGUUUUUACAUGCAAUAGUUCAGUCUCAUGCCGACUGGAAUGACACUAGGGAAAGAGGCACACAAAGUCGAUGAAGGGUUAACGAGGGUUUACAAAUACAACAAUUCAGAUUGGAACAAAUGGAUUCAACUUUUCAAAUUAGUAGAUACUUAUUCAGGUAUCAUUGAUGAAAAUAAUAGUUCUAAAUUAAGUUAAAUCCAUCAAUAUGCAUGUUUCCUAGAUGUAUGUGGAGCCUAAAAGAUGCUAUUUCCAAAACAUGAUAUGGAAGCUUAAUUCCCUUUUUCUGAAUUAUGUUAUCCUUUCAGUUAAAUUUUACUUCCGCCGAAAACGAAGACUAAAUUUGAAGAAUUUCAAGUGAAACAGAGAAAAUGAGCUAGUAUAUAAGGGAACUUACAAGAGUGUUAACCUUCCCAACAACUUUGUCACCAGGUUUGAAUUUUUUUACUCCAGGUCCUACCUUUACAACCUCUCCUGCCACAUCAAUACCUGUUCCGAGUUCCACCAAUGAAUAUCUUCAGUUAACAAAACGACUUCUGACAAAAUGCGGUUCUGUGAAAACUUCUACAUAAAACAUGUUAAGAAAUGCAUCCCACCCUUUCCCUUUGAAGAACUCGAAAAACUAUGCUAUAAUAUCAAUGUUUACGUAAGAAUCUCUCCCCAGAAAACACACAAAUUUCACUCCAGAAGUUUAUAGAUGAAAUGAACAAGAAACAGGUGUUUAAGCAUUUAUCGAACAUUCGUACUACUUUUCAAGAAAAAGAUCAAAUAAUACAUGGAAUGAGGCAUAAUUACGUAAAGAGUUAUAAACACAAAAUGGAUCCCCUAAGUAGCAGCGUCUCAAGGCAGCCAAACCAAAUUACCAGGUAUGUACGGAAACCUGCGAGGCAACAAAGGCCAGAGCAUGCCUUUCUGAGCUUUCCAAUCAAUUGCGUUUAGACUAGUUGCCUCCAAUUUCAGCAACACCUCAUCUUUUUUCGGAUUUGGAAUCGGAACUUCAACAUGCUGCAAUAAGGCCAAUGUCAUGACAAGAAUGUGUUCUGCAAAGUUCUUCAAAGCAACAAAGUAUCCACAUAAUAGACCAACAACUUUGUUUAACAUUUCAUAAGCAUAUACAAAUGGUAAUUUUCUCGAUAACAAAACCUAGUAACUGAGUAAAUCCCUGUUACUAUUUCUUUCAUCAUGUGAUUUUGGAUAAAAACAAUAAAAGUAAAAGAUAAAACCUCUUCCUUUAUCAUUUCCUUCCCAUCAUCGCAAUGACUCAAUCAAGUACUCGUAUUCCAAGUGGGAUUUCAGUUAUUAAACUGAAAAUAUGACUUCACCCCUGGAACAUAGAUUUUUCAUCUAAAACCCGACAUAAUUGUUUUACUUGAUUAAAGCCUGGUGAUUAGGAUCCCCAUAAGCAUAUUCCUUAAUUAAGCUUGAAUUCAAAUAUUUUACAUGUUUCCAAUGGCUAUAUUAUCCCUAAUAACAAUUGGAUUUAGACAUUUCUUUUCCUAGUCUAUUUCAAUUUUUUUUUUAACAAACUAUAUAUUUUCUACACUAAAUGAGGGGGGUGAAUUUAACCUCAUAAUGAGCUAGCAAUAAUGAGGUCCAAAUUUGCCUUUGGCGAAAAUUGAAGCCAAGACCUCCCUCUUUCACAAUUGUUCUUGCUUCUUAUUUUUUUGUUUGAAAUUGAUUUAUUAUAUGCAACUAGGUAAAUUUGUGCUUGUAAAUAUAGAUAAAUUAGUGUAAAUAUAGGUAAAUUAGUGUAUUUCUUAUGUGAUGUCAUAAAAUAAUGUAUCUAUUAUUUUCUCACCCUUUAGUUGUAAUACUUCGUUGUAUGAAAAGAAUGUGCUUAUAUUGUGUCGGUAGGUAAUUAUUGCACAUGAAAAUGCAGGUAAAUAACUUAUAUAUACCAUAUAAGUAAAUUAGUGAAUCAACAAAUUCUAAAUGGGUACAUUAAUGAUAUAUAAAUAGACAAAACAUUAUGAAACUCAUUGAAGGCGCAAAACAAGGAGUAAAUCAUCCAUAUUGACAUGAUUGGAGAAUACUUGCAAUUUUGUAAAAUAAUUGCAGUAAUGGGUCAACAACUCAUAUUAAAUUUUGGAUUUUAUUUAGAGGUUAAGAAGUACACGGCUAUAAUGAACUCUCGAAAAAAAAAAAAAAAAACAAGUGAGUUUACGUUUAUGAAAUAAGAGUUACAAGUCUAUAAACAACCUUUAAACCAGAAGUUCCGCCGCCAUAGUUGUCGUACUGAACCGCGUGCAUGGUCUCAUUGGCCAUAGUCUCUCAGUUGUAAGUCCAACCAACGUUACGAAGAGCCGCAGAAACUUGAAGCUCCUCCCUCCCGGAUUCUAUGAAGUACAGAGCUUAUGCUAGUACAGCAAUGGACUCAUUAGUCCAUGUCUAAUGUGGAAUAAACUAAUAAACGUGAUUCAUAAGAAUGUUGACUCAUUGGCCCAUGUCUAUUGUCGAACAAACUAAUACACGUGAUGUUGACUCAUUGGCACAACUAAUUCACGUGAUCAUAAUGAUUUGGGCAGUACAAUAGGUACAUCAUGGUCUGGUCCCCAUGUUAAAUAGACAAUAUGUGUGGUCCAUAUGUUAAAUAGACAAUACGACAAGUAGAUGGUCCCUAUCUUGUCCCUACGUGAAAUAGACAAUACGUAUGUGGUCCAUAUGUAAAUAUACAAUAAGUGUAUGCAGUGCUGAUGCCAAGAUUUGUCGAGGUGAGGGGUGAAAUUCAAGAGAGUGCAAGAUUCAAUCAAAGCGGUUGCUUUUAUAUUGAAGAGUGCAAAGUUUUGAGUCAAUAUUCAAAGCAAAAAAUAGUAUCUCCACAAAAGCGGUUGUAAGCGAUAAUAUCAAAGUCAAUGUAAUAAGCUUAAAUUAGCUAGGAUUAUAUUCUAAAAAAAGCGCUAGUCAGGUAGCAGAUUGGAACCUAGUAGCUAGGCACCUAGGCGAGAUCUAGGCAGGAGCCCAAUAGGAUUUAAAUGAAUUUCUUUUAUCGUAAAAUAAGCAUUAACCAAUAUUUACAUUACUUUUUAAAAAGUAAUACAAUAUUUAUAGAUAAUGUGAGAGUUUAAGAUAAAUACAGUAGGGGUCUUAAAAGAAAAAAAAAAACAAUACUUGAGUGCUCACAAUUUAGUACCAAUUUUACUCACUAGACUUUAUGGCCCAAUAAAAUUACAACAAUUGUCAUUCUUAACUCUCUAACCAAACAACAACAUAUCUACUAUUCUAGCAACCAAACACUUUAAGGGCGCGUUUACUAAUCCGUAAUCAAAUUUAAGGGAAUUGAAUUGAGGAGAAAUCGGAUUGAGGAGGAAUUUAAUUGAGAAUGAAACAAAAUUAGAUUCCGGUUAAAGUUGUUUACAAAAUUAGAUUCUGGAAAUUAAGUUUAUCAAAUUAAAUAUAAGCUUAUUAUAUUAACACCCCACAUAUUGUUGAAUAAACUCCACAUAUUUAAUGCACCUCACAUUUGUUUUUUUAAUUAAAACUUAUUUUAAUAAACCCCACAUACUUCCCAUAACACCCUUAGACCCCACAUUCUCAACAUACACCAUACAUUUUCUAUAUACGCCUCCACAUUCUUCAAAUCUUAUAAUUCUCAUUCUUGCUUUUGUGGUUUUCAUUAGGACUGGGUUCAAAAAACCAAAAAUCGAAAAAAAACUGAGAACCGAACCGAAACAAAAAAAACUGAACAAAAAAAAUCGAACCGAAACGAACCGAAUUUGGCCAGUUCGGUUCAGUUUUUAAGGUCCGAAAACCGGACCGAACCGAAUUAAUUAAAUUAAUAUAUUUUUUUAAUUUUUUAUUAUUUAAAUAUCUGUUUUGAAUAUAUAUAUAUAUAUAUAUAUAUAUAUAUAUAUGUGUGUGUGUGUGUGUUGGAAUGUGUAAUGGGCUAAUUAUUAUAUUAUUAAACUAAUUAAAGUGUUGCUGACAAAGGUUGUAUCAAGCACAUGGGUGCUUGCUUUAUAGAACUUUGUCUCUCUCUCUCUCACUAUUUCUCACUCUCUCGUAGUAUCUCACUAUUUCUCUCUCUCUCCGCUUUUUAUUUCUUAAAUCUUGAUUCUAUUAUUUUAAGUCUGAUUCUUCGAACUUUUGAUCCUAUUAUUUUCAAGUCCGAUUCUUCAAGCUUUUAAUUCUACAAUCUCCAUCUUCGAGUUCUUUUUCAUUCUCAAACCCACCGUCGAAUUCGAGUUUGUGAUUCUAUGAUACAACUGCAGUUUUCAUUCUCAAAAUCGAAACAAACCGAAUUGAAAAAAAUAGACCGAACCGAACCGAAAUUUCGGUUCGGUUUCGGUUUGGACAAAAAACUGAACCGUUUCGAACUGAACCCAGCCCUAGUUUUCAUUAUUCUCCAUGGAAAUCCUGAUCUUCCGUUUCCUUCUUUUGGUGUUUGUCUGAGAGAUAGUUCUGCUACUUCGACUUUCUCUUUGCUUCCAUUUAACAUAUUGAACUACCUCCUUUCGGUGACUCCUAUCAACGUAGGGGAUUGUGCUGGCAUCUUGGUUGAGAAUGAUGGUAUUCACUCGCAAAGUGGAAAAAAAAUAAAAAUAAAAUAGGCUUCGGGGGCUUGGACGCUUCAACGAAGGUUAAUGGCUUUACCUGUUCAAAUAUUGAAUAAUCAACAUUGAGAGUAUGACAGUAAGAGGACAGAAAAUAACAUGGAUGGGGAUAAUUAGGAAAUAUAUAACAACAUGUGAUUCAAAAUAAAAAUAAGCCCCAGCGUUGUAAAUGGAUCGAGAAGCAUGAUUAGUUGGGACAAGGUCCUAUUAUCAUUGAGGUUUAUAUCAGACUUGCCAUGGGGAAAAUGAAUCAAUGUUACCUUUCAUUUCCAGAACUGUGAUGCUUUUGACAACAUAUGCAAGCAUACCAAAACAUGUCUAUCAAUCAGUGGUUACCUUUUAUUUUAAACUGAUACUGGAAGAAUCCUUGAUAGAUUAGAGACUAAUAUAUAUACUUGUAUUGAGAACAAAAUAAUAGUAAAUUGAAAAAUAAAAGUAGAAGAAUACAUAGAUUACAAGUAUUCAACAAAUUUAGAGUUUAAAAACAUAUUAAUAUAAUCAUAAAAGGCCUAGCCCCACCAAAACCCUAUUUACUUUUGCAUUCAUUUUUCCUCUGGAGCCCAAAAUGCUCCCUAGCCCCACCAAAACCCUAUUUACUUUUGCAUCCUCGUACCUUUGUUAGCUGUUUCUGCAAAAUCCGAAGAACCAUAAAUGGUCAGAUGAAUCAAGAAUCCAAAGAAAGCCAAAAGAAGGGCCAGGGUUAGCGCCAAAUUCCACUAUCUUCUCCGUUGAUUGUUUAAUUAUUUUAAUAAAAUUAGGGUUUUGUCUUAAAUUUUUGUUUAGGGCUCAAAGAAAAAAGGUGGAUUGCCUUCCUCUUCAGGACCAUCGAUGCUGGCGAAGGUAUAGCAACCGCCUAGCGGGCCGCCUAGACCGCCUAGCGGGCCGCCUAGACCGCCUAGCGGGCCGCCUAGACCGCCUAGCGGCUGCCCAGGUACCCGCCUAAGCCAUCAUCGAGUUUCUCUAAUGUUUUGCUCCAAAUCACCUCGGAAGCCUAACGCCCAGCGCCUAGGCAGCCGCUUAGACCACGUUUUCGAACACUGGUUAGAAUGAAACUUAAUUAAAAUAGAUCAAAGCAUGACUUUGGUAGGUGAGAAGCCACCAACAUCCAUAUUUAAUAUAGAGACCAUAAUUAUUGUAGUGCGUACAUUAUAUAACCCAAUUAUCAAUUUCCUUUCUCUUUCUCUUUCGAAAAUCAAUGAAUAAUGGGUGAAACUUUAUAAUUUUAACCAGAUCCACAGAAUGUGAAACUUUAAUUUUAAUUUGCUACUAUUUCAUUGCCUUGGAUUUUUGUCACUGGUAGUGGCGACCGAAAAAAGCAAUGAACAGAUGGACAUGGGAAGUACAGAAAUUUCUGGAUGGAUGUUACGAGUGUACGAUCACCUUCAUACGCUCAACCCAAUCUGAUAGGAUUGAAGUUUCUUUUCAAUUUUUUUCUAUCAUUUUUUUUCUAAAUUUGGUUUUGAAUUUGCAGGUACUGGCCUCCAGCAGCCCUCUGCUUGCACAUCCGCACUCUGCAACCUCUAAUUUGGGUAAAUUUUGGUUUUGAUUUUUCUAGAUCAAUAUGUAUUUGUGCCUGGCUGUUUAAUUCUACGAUUGAGGAUUUUUAACUAGAUUUAUUAUUAUAUAUGGAGGAUUUUUAAUCAAUUUUUCUAUUUGCUUUUUACUUUUCCGCAUUUUUCUUUUUACUGUGAAUUGUAUGAUGAAAUUAUUUUUUUGGAAUGCUUCUAUUUUUCUUGCAAGAUGAAAUUAUUUUCUAGAAUGCUUCUGUUUUUCAUGUAGGAUUAAAACAUACAUAAUUGUUUAAGUUACCACUUUAUACUCUACAAUCAACUAUGUCUACUAGUAUAUAUACGGCAAGAUACUUAACAAAAAGUGACUCAAAGCGUCUCGAUAACAGUAGAUAGCCAAAAACAACUAGCCAAAAUGGCCGAUCAGAGUCGGUAGCCAAAAAACAGCUAGCCAAAGUGGUACUCAAGCUUUAUAUCUUGGUCUGCAAAAAAAUGUUGUUAGCUUCAUCACCGUCUAUUACCGAGAGAAAUUUUUUAUUGUGAUUGGAAUACGAGCGUUACAUCACAUGUUUUAUAUAAGUAAUAGAAAAUUUUAAUAAUAUAUAUAUCUCAUCAUUUGUAUAGUUACAUAUGGUGUAUCAUUUCAUAUUCUGAUUACACUAAAAAAUUUCUCUAUUACAGACGAGUUUCCUUGUAAAAGGAUAUUAUAUUUGGAGGGACCACAUAAAGAUAAUUGGGCUGAAUUGGUGGUUGCUUUUCUUUCAUUUAUAAUGUAUAUGUGUUCUUACUUUGUCCACUCCUUUUUGUCUCGUAAAUGUUUUUUGUGUGUCACAAAUGAGUCUGACUUGUCCUACUAGGUUGAGUCUGACUUGUCCUAACUUAAUUCAACCAGCCAUUCGAUACCUAACCUCAUAUCUAAAUGACUAAUUUCUAUUGGAUUAGGUGUUGAGUUUUUACUUAUGUGUUCAAAACUUUCCCUUUCUCUCAAGUAAUAUAAUAGUUUCGAACUCUUCCCUUACUCCUUAAUAAUAGUAACUUUUUCUUUUUUAAAAAGGACAUGAUAGAAUGCAUGUGAGGUAAGUUUUUUUGAGGUCGUGAUUUAGAAAGGAAAAAAUGUUGUGUGGUGCUAUCUGACAUUGGAAAGUUAAAUCUUGUAUUAUGAGAAAAGUUUGGUCUAUUUUCAAUUGGUUUUGAAGUGCAACUUCAACUUUCUUCAUGUAAGAGAAAGAAAAAAGAAACAAAGAGGCAAUAAUGAGUUAUGGAUUGCCCUGACAUUCUUAGUCAACCAACUGCGUCUCAAGUUCAAACCCUUCUCUCUUCACUAGUGUAGAUUAGUAGAGUUUUGUAAUAUAUUUGAAUAUUUUUCUUUCUUGUGUUUUUUGGGAAUCUACAUUUAGAUCAUUUCGAAUGUUUGGUUAACUUAUUUUUUUAUAUGAAUUUUCAAUUACAGGUUGGUACUUGGUUGCUUGACUUCUAACCCUUUUGUUAGCUCAUAUGAGUAGUUGUGUGCGUGUUGUAUUCUCUUUUGUUGUGAUGGAUUUUUGUUUGAGAUUUUAGUUAGGAUUCUUGUUUCUCACUAAGUCUACUUGCUUUGCUUUAUAUAUAAAUUAGUUGUCAUUUGGGAUUUGAAUAUUUAGGUCUCACUGUUUUUCAAGAAUGGUCUCUUUGUGUAGGUCCACUAAUAUGGAAAACAAAGGUCCAACUAGGUUGGCCAACAAAUAAUCCAUUUUUGUCUUUUGCAGGUCAAUCAUGGUAUUGGUUAUAUCACCACCCAUAUUCCCAGGUGCUAUUACAAAUAUAUACCGGUAAAGUCGUUUAAUAACUUAAAUAGGUGUUAAUAUGUAUACCUUUUGGUCAAGUGUACUGUAGAAGGGAUAUAUCUUGUGUAUCAACACUUUUUUUCUUGCUAUAAUGUUUUUAGUAAGUUAUGCGUUUGAACAACAUUUGGGUUACCUAACCGUUUUGUUUGAGUGAAACAGUUCUUGAUAUGUCUACUGGAAUGGAUUACAAAAUUAAAAGUGGUGAUGCAGCUGGAGCUUUAAAGAUUGAACCUAUUCAAAGGGCCAGUUUCCUCUAUGUUGCCUAUUAUUGAUGCUACCGAUUUCGUAGCAGACAACUCCCAUUCAAUAUUUUUAGUUAUGAUAUUAUCUUUUUCAAGCUACAAUUGGGAUAUAUUGUAGGUUACUGUGGACAUGUUAAUGUAAAAACUACCCAUAUUUGAAUUAUAAGAAUUUUUUUUCAUUGAGUUUCAUAGUAUGUACUUGCCAUUUACAUAACUACAUUAAGCUGAAAUGCUAGUUUAAUUCCUAAAAUGAUAAAAUGUAAAUGAAUAAAUGGAUUAAAAUAUAAUAUAAACAAUUUAAAGGAGCAUGUGACGAUAUACCUAUUCAUCACAUAAUUUUAGGAUUUGUGACGCUUAUAACGUCAUAAAUUGAGUCAAGAUUGGCAUUUGGGCUUGAAAAUAUGUGAGGAAUCGGGCGCCACGUAUACUAAGAACAAGUGACGAAUCACAAAUUCGUCACAUAUACUAUCGAUGACUCCACAUAGGUGACGAGCCUUGUGACAACCGAAAUUCGUCGCAUAUACUAUUAUAUGACGAAUUUGUAGUAUUCAGUGACGCUUUGCCAUCGUCACUGAAGCCCUGUUUUCUUAUAGUGAAUACAUAUACUUGUAUUGAGAACAAAAUAAUAGUAAAUUGAAAAAUAAAAGUAGAAGAAUAUAUAAAUUACAAGUAUUCAACAAGUUUAGAGGUUAAAAACACAUUAAUAUAAUCAUAUAUUAUUUUGGGCCCAAAAUAAAGGCAUAUUAUAAUCAUAAAAUGCCUAGCCCCAUCAAAACCCUAUUUACUUUUGCAUUCAUUUCUCCUCUGGAGCCCAAAAUGCUCCCUAGCCCCACCAAAACCCUAUUUACUUUUGCAUUCAUUUCACCUCUUACCUUUGUCAGCCGUUUCUACAAAAUCUGAAGAACCAUAAAUGGUCAGAUACAUCAAGAACCUAAAGAAAGCCGGCCCAGGUUAGCUCCAAAUUCCACUACCUUCUCCGUUGAUUGUUUAAUUAUUUUAAUAAAGUCAGGGUUUUGUCUUAAAUUUUUGUUUAGGGCUCAAAGAAAGGACGUGGAUCUCCUUCCUCUUUGGGACCAUCGAUGCUGGCGAAGGUAUGGCAACUGCCUAGUGGGCCGCCUAACACCGCCUAGACCGCCUAGCGGCUGCCUAGGCGCCUGCCUAAGCCAUCACCGAUUUUCUCUAACGUUUCGCUCCAAAUCACCUCGGAAGCCCAACUCCCAGCGCUUAGGCUGCCUCUUAGGCCGCAUUUUCGAACAUUGGUUAGAAUGUAACUUAAUUAAAAUAGAUCAAACCAUGGCUUUUGUUGAACACUGAAAUAGAAAGGAACGAAGUUACCCGAAAAAAUGUAAAAGCCUUGAGUGGUGAAUGAUUCUUGGGAUGAGUCGCGGACUAAGUCACUUUCUUUAAGACGUUUCGCGGCUCUGCCCAAAGUGUGCAAGCAGUUCACAAACACCACGUCGUCCCUAGGAUAAAACAGCCAAGAACCUUCUUCUGAUAAGAUUCUUCCUUGCACAUCGGAAGAACCUUCGAACUUACACCUUACCAAUAUAUUGCUUUUUAUAAAUCAAUAUAUAUAAAACUUUUUCUUACUUCGUCUAUGUUCUGCUCUUUUUCUAACCUAUAUAAUCUAUAUAUAUAUAUAUAAAGAAAUAGACAUUGGAGGGUUUGAAACCGUAAGAAAUCAUGGAUGUUUAUAGGAUGCACGUUGGAGGGUGUGAAACCGUACAAAAUCAAGGAUAUUUAUGGGGAUUUAUGGGAUGCAAAACUGUCUACAAUCAAAGGAUGAUAACAAAUUAUGUUUUAUAUUUAAUGUUUGUAAUAAACUAAAAUAUAAAUAUUUAAAAUAUUUAAAUAAAAACAUAAAUGCUCCAACAGCUUUGGUAGGUGAAAGCCACCAACAUCCAUAUUUAAUAUAGGGACCAUACUUAUUGUAGUGCCUACAUCAUAUAACCACCAUAGGGUGGCUCAGUGGUUGGGUUCGAAUUCUAGGUUUGUAUUCUACACGGUACGUCUUGAGUUCAAUUCUUAGCGCUUGUCAAUAUGGGUGGGUUCAAAAAACCGAAAACCGAAAAAAACCAAAAAUCGAACCGAACCGAACCAAAUUCUUUUGGUUCGGUUUCAGUUUCAGUGGUCUAGAAACCGAACCGAACCAAAUUAAUUAAAUUAAUAUUUAAAAAAAUAAUAAUUAUCUGUUUUGGGUAUUAUUUUGUAAACCCAAUUUAUAAGCCCAAAUAUGCUAAAAGCCCAAUGUGUUGCCAAAUUUUAAACCAAAAAUAUUAAAAAUAAAGCCUUUAGAAACUCUAAACCCAAACUUUAAGCCCAAAAUAUUGUUUCUUCACCCAUAUCCAGAUUUAAAAUUAAAAAUAAAUAAAAAAACAUGAAAACAAGAGUAAACUGUACCAUAUGCAUGCCACAUUUCAAAUAUUAUUUUGCAUUGGAUAUGUAUUUUUUUAUGUAUAGCAAACCUGCAGCAAAUAACAAUCAUUAGGAUGAUAAUAGGCAUAUAUUCCUUUCCCAUCUCAUUGAUCUCCUAUGCAAUAUAUAACCCACCCACCCACGGAUAGUGCAAGGAAAACCAUAAGCUUCUCAGAGAGAAUUUAUAAAUCACAGGUUGAUGAGUGUUCUCCGCUUGGAUCGACGUCAUGCCAUGAUGAUGGUUUUUCUUGCAUACACGGAAUAAGAGCCUAUUGUUCUAGGUAGUCAUGAAAAUAGCUUGAUUUGAUAUUCAUUUGUUCUAGUAGCUAGGUUUCAAUAAUAUAGUUUAUCACCCUAUUUAUCAAGUUUAAUGUCUAAACGUUAUUAUGUUUUUGGGAAUGAUUUUAGGGCAGCUAAAUAACAUGCCAAUAUCUAGAUUAAAAAAAUAAUUGGAAAAAACCGAACCAAACCGAAAUCGAAACUGAAAAAAACCAAACUGAACCGAUUUGAACUGAACCUAGCCCUACUUGUGAAUCAUACGAUGGUGGUAAAAGGGAGACUAAAAUUCCUCUUUGAGUUUUCCUGGCUACCAAAAAGGUGGAUUACUGUGACGAAGCCAACUAGUCCCUUUUUUGAAAAAAAAAAAUACACAUGAUUCAUGUUAAUAUAAUAAAAUCAAUAUUUUGUUGAUCUUGUAUUUCCACACACUAAUACACAUGUUAUAUGUUAUCAGUAUUUUGUUGAUCUUGUAUUCUUGUUGAAAUUUCAUCUUCUAGAAAAUUAUGUUGGCAUGUCAUAUUUUGUGACACUUAACCUAACUUUUUGAUAAAGUUGCACAUUUCGAGAAACAAAAACUAUAAUGAACAACUAGCAUUUGCCUAUUUUUUUAGAAAAUGAGAAGGAGAGAGAGAGAGAGAGAGAGAGAGAGAGAGAGAGAGAGAGAGAGAGAGAGAGAGAGAGAGAGAGAGAGAGAGAGAGAGAGAGAGAGAGAGAGAGAGAGAGAGAGAGAGAGAGAGAGAGAGAGAACGUGGGGGAAGUGAGAGUUUUUUUUAUUUUUUAUUUUUUAUUUUUAAUAUUGAAGGUAUUUUAACAUUACCUGUAGGUGAGACUUCAAUAAAAAUAGUAAAAUUUAGAGUUGUGAAAUUACAUUAUUGCCGAUUAUUUUUUUGUGUGAUAGAAGACUAAGUAGUCUUUUCACUUUCUUUUGGUUGACAAAGAGGGUUUCAUUAAUUAAUAGAGAUAAGAAUGAAAAAAUUUAAGGAAAAAUUAGUAUUCAGUUCUUAGUUUUUAAUGUUCUUAUAUUAAUUAAGACCUUAAUAGUUUUUAUAUUUUGAUCAAAGUCCCUAACAUUAAUGUAUUAAUAAAUUACAUGUCAGUUACAUAAAUUUUAAAAUAAAAAUUAGUAAUUGAUUUAGGGUUUUAAUACUCACAUCCUUAUUAAACUCCUAAUUCAUUUUCAAUUCAAAAAAUUUCCAAAAUAUAAAAACUAAAAUAAGAAUAAGUUUGUACCCAUUAAUGUUUUAUAAAAAAAAAUUCAAAAUUUUAAUUUUAUAUGUACCCAUUUAUAUAAUUCUUCUAUUUUUCUAAUCUUAAAUGUACUUAUUCUUAGAUAUACCAAUUUGUUAUCUAUAAAAUGUACUUUUUUUUAAUAUAAAUGUAGACAUCGAAAUUUCGGUAAAUAAAUGUUGACCGAUAAAUCAAAGUGUCAACGCUCAUGUAUUACAUAAAUUUUACACGUAGCGUAUGACUCAACGAAAAUUGAAAUGAGUUGGAAAAGUCAUCAAACAGGACACGUGUCAACACAUGGCAGAAAAGACUUAUUUCAUCUGGAAUAUUAUAUUCAAAAUUAGGCCUUGGAAAAUUCUAUAAAUAGAAGGCUAAUUCAUUCAUUUGGAACCAAUUGAUACUACACCUUGAAGCUCUGAAGCUCUGAAACUCCGAAGCUCUCAAGCAUCUAGGUUCCCGAAGAAUCAAGAAAGCCUUCUUCGUUCUUCGUUCAUCAUCCGUUCUUCCAAGAUCAAGCCCCGACGGCCCUUGGAUCAACAAUCAUCCACCUUCAAAGAUCAAGCCCACGACCCCUUGAAGAAACUUCCAACAGUUCAUCCAAGAUCAAGCCCCAACGGCCCUUUGGAUCAACAACGUUCAACAAAUCCACACAUCCAACCGUUCUUCAAGAUCAAGCCCAAAAGCCCUUGAAGAUCCGUUCAUCACCGUUAUUCAAGAUCAAGCCUUAACGGCCAUUGAAGAAACACUUAUCCUCAAGAUCAAGUUCCAACGGCUCCUUGAAGAUCCGCUCAAAUCCACCUUCAAAGAUCAAGCCCACGGCCCCCUUGAAGAAACUUCCAACAGUUCAUCCAAGAUCAAGCCUCAACGACCCUUGGAUCAACGAAACAUCCACAAAUCAAUACCUUACGGAGAUCGAAUCAGAGGAUCAAAUUUGAGAGAGAUUGUAACCCAAAAUCAAAAAAUACAAAUAUUUGUUUGUGCACGUCGUUCUUGUCUCUUUCGUUUCAGGAAUUUUCCGUGUUCACAAAUUGGCACGCCCAGUGGGACAAUCUCUGCCUCUCAUCUCUUUCUCCGUUCAAGAAAUUCAAGCGCCCUUCCAAAAUUAAUGACAUCAAGAAAGGCUCAAAUUGUUCCCGCAACCGGCGCAAAGAACAAAAGCGUCCUCGUCGCAACUGGUGUCACUUUGGGCAUCACGACUCGAAGCAUGGCAAGAGCUACUUCUGCCGCCUCUUUCACCUCUGCAUCAACUCUGCCAAGGGAACAAAAGCACCCAAGGCACGAGCCUUUGAUCACCUUACCUCACUAAGGGCACCAAGGGGGGAAAGCCCAAGGAAAUACUCCGAAUCCAUGCUCUCCGAUGCCGAUUCAAGCGACAGUUCAGCCAUGUAAGUCAUGACCAUUGGAGCAACUUCAAUCGAUGAGCAGCUGGCUCAAAUGAAUGAAGCAAUCGCAAGGCUAACCCGAACUGUGGAAGAAAAAGACUUGCAAAUUGCAGCACUAGUCAACCGAUUGGAGGCGCAAGACGACGAUAAACCCGACCCAGAGGAUGAUCCACUAAAGGGAGGAGCUGGCGGAGACGAAGAACCCCCGGUGAAGAAAAUCGAUGGGAAGCCGGAGCCAGACCAAGCAGCGGCACUCAUGGGAUCUCUUUCUAUCCAGCAGCUGCAGGAGAUGAUCACCAACACCAUCAAGGCACAGUACGAAGGGAGCUCACAUACCUCAUUGUUCUACUCGAAGCCCUAUUCCAAGAAGAUUGAUGCCCUAAAGAUGCCAAGGGGUUAUCAACCACCAAAGUUCAUGCAGUUUGAUGGAAAAGGAAACCCAAAGCAGCACGUUGCACAUUUCGUCGAAACUUGCAACAACGCGGGGACGGAGGGAGGCUACCUCGCCAAGCAAUUUGUGCGCUCGCUGAAAGGAAAUGCCUUUGAGUGGUACACAGACCUAGAGCCUGAGUCCAUCAACAGCUGGGAGCAAUUAGAACGAGAAUUCCUCAACCGCUUCUACAGCACCCGCCGCACUGUGAGCAUGCUAGAGCUAACGAGCACAAAGCAGUGGAAGGACGAGCCAGUCAUUGACUACAUCAACAGAUGGCGCACUCUAAGCCUCGACUGUAAAGACAGGCUUUCGGAAACCUCUUCAAUCGAGAUGUGCAUCCAAGGCAUGCAAUGGGGUUUGCAAUACAUCAUUCAAGGCAUUAAACCACGGACUUUCGAGGAAUUGGCCACUCGCGCCCAUGACAUGGAGUUGAGCAUCGCCCAUCAUGGGAAGAAGGAAUCGAUCGCCGACUACAAAAACGACAAAGUUCUUGGGCCAAAGGUGGAGAAGGCUACGUGGAAACCCACCAAGGAAGCAAUGACGGUCAACACAGCUCCCGUCAAAAUCCCCACACGAGGCAAGGCGAUUCAAGCCGAAGGCUUUCGUGAUCAAGAGAUGCGUAGACACACUUUGAAGGAGCUUGAGGAGAAAACUUAUCCAUUCCCCGACUCUGAUGUGGUUGCCAUGUUAGAAGACUUGCUGGAAAAGAAGGUGAUCGGCUUGCCUGAGUGCAGACGGCCAGAAGAGAUGAAUCGCACUGACAGUUCAAGGUACUGUAAAUUCCACCGCUUCAUCAGUCAUCCGACAGAAAAAUGUUUCGUGCUGAAAGAUCUCAUCAUGAAGCUGGCUCAGAAAGGAAUCAUCGAGCUAGAUCUUGACGAUGUGGUGAACACAAACUAUACCACCAUCACUUCUGGCUUUUCCGACUCGAAGUUUUCACCUCAACCGCUGGGGGCAUCCUCCAAGACAAGCAAAAUUGAAGGAUGGACUCAAGUCACUCCUAAGAAAUUGCACAAGAAGCAUACGUCUCCUCCACAAGUCCGCCAAUCGGAAAGGGGGCAAAACAGCUCUUGUCAACCUUCAAAGCAACAUGAACGUGUUGAAGAUGAUGAAAUUGCGACACAAAGAUCGUCCGUUGCCAUCACGAUGCGCGACUUCUUACCUAGAAGACGAAGGCAAAUGCUGCUGGAACAAACCCACAAACCUCUGAUGAUCAAGUAAAAUCUGACCAUCAGAUUCUUGCAUCUGGUCAAUCUUCCUCUUCAUGUUUGUCGCAUAGCUAUGUGCGAGCUUAUGCAACUGUUUAUUCUCCUGCUUGAGCCUUCUAAUCUCCUGUUUGAGACUCAUCACUUCCGCCACCAAUGAUUCAACUUGACGGGUUCGAGCAAAUAGGCGUUGGGCCAUAUUAGACACAGAACCUGCACACUGCACACUGAGAGCCAGAGAAUCCUUAACAGCUAACUCAUCAGACCGUUUGGAAAGUAGUCUGUUAUCUCUAGGAGUGACAAGGUUUCGGGCCACCACUGCAGCGGUCAUAUCAUUCUUCACCAUCGAAUCCCCAACGGUAAGAGGACCAGUAGGGGAUAUGAAGGAUGGGCGCCAUAUGUUGUCUGGAGAAGGCGGGACUACCUUUUCACCAAGGUUCAAAUCAAAACGAUGGUCGGAAGGCCCAGACAUUUUCAAAGGUGUUGAAGAAAGAAGAGGUCGGACAAAUUAAGAUCUUAGAAGUGCAAGAGGGGAGUUUCUACAAGCAAAAAUUCAAGUGUGCUUUGAAACGAACUGCGUGCCUCUAUAAAAAAACCAGCACUCGACAGGAUUUCAGAGAUCGAAGAGGUGAGCUCAGAGUUCGAAAAUGUCGAUUCAAAAAUCGAAGAGGCAAGCUCAGAAAUCGGAGAAGCAUCUUGCUUUUCCAGACGCGUUAGCACCCGUCACGCGCAAACUCAGCUUUGCGAAAAUCACGGGCAAUUUGUCGAAGCGCCGAUCCCAGAUAUCGAAGAGGUGCCAGUCUUUUUCAGCCUCGUCAACACCUAUCACACGCACACUCAGCUUGAUGAAAAUUACGGACAAUUUGUCGAAAAUUUCUGAUAAAGAAGAAAGCACGUGAAGCCAUACUGAUCAAUCACGCAUUGGUUACCGACACGAGUAAAAGAAUAGUACCUCUACAGGUACUAACGAAUUUCCUAUAACUGUCCACCUUCACCCUCCAUAGCGAGGCAGACAUACAUAACCUUUCUUCAUCUCCGAGAAUGCCUUCCCAACGAAGCCUCUCGGGUCACUCAGUGUUCCUUAUUCCUUGGGGUACCUCUGCAAGCCAAUGACUCCAAAGCAAAAGUAUCUCAUAUCACCAGGGUAGAAAGCAAGAGUAUCUCAUAUCAUGCGUUCUCCCUGUCAUUUCCUUUGUCCUUGUUCUUACCUACAAAGAUAAGGAUAAAGAAAACAAUAUGCCGGAACUUCCACUCAAACUCGGGUAAGGAACCGACUGCUUGGAACCCUUCCCUGAUUGCCUACCUAGCACUGCUCUCGAGUACUCGUCUCCCACUGCUGCUGUACUUCCAAAGAAGCUGCCACAUCUGCCUGAAGAACAUAUAAAGGCAAGUGAAAAUAAUACCUUGCAGCAUGUAGAGACAACGUGCAGAAGAAACAAGCAGAGAAGAAUGCGGUCUGCACAGUCAACUCAGCAGAAGGAGUCCGAACUGAGGAACUCAAGAAGCUGCCACAUCUGCCUGAAGAAACAAGCAGAGAAGAAUGCAGCAUGCACAGUCAACUCAGCAGAAGGAGUCUGAGAUGAAGAACUCGAGAAGAUGCCGCAUCUGCCUGAGGAACAGUUAAAGGAAAUGAAAAUGAUACCUUGAAGCAUAUGGAGACAAGUGCAACAAAGCACGUGCUGAGUCAUCCGCUACUUCUUCAAAAUCAAAAGUAUCUCAUAUCAUCAGGGUUGCAAUCAUUCUGGAUGGUGAACUCGUUUUGACCCUCAAAUUCUUGGGUCGACUUACUAGGUGUUGUGAGAUGUACGUGUCGAUUCACCACCCUUGAAUCAAAUCCUUAAAGAUCAAGUCACCAACUGGAAGAAGAGCCCAUCAAUCUUGAAGAUCAUACCGUUGACCAAACUGCUCAGGUGUGAAUUAGAAAGAUUGAACAAAGCAACAAGUCGUCACCUUCACCUCGUGCCUGCUUGUCAUGUGUUCGAGUCAACCUUCAAGAAUCAAGCCUCAAAGGCCCUUGAAGAAGUUUCCAGCCAAAUUCAAGAUCAAGCCUCGACGGCCCUUGAGGAAAUCACAAGUCCGAUUCAAGAUUAAGUGUCUACCACCUUUGAAUCAAAACCCAGUUCAAGACCAAAGCUGUGGAAAGUCAACAAGCACAACAUAAUAUGUGCCACUUCAUCCACUACCAAAGCCAAAGAUCAUCUACCACAUGAAGCUCAUUGUGGUCCAAUUUCAACCUUCAAGAUCAAGCCUUGACGGCCCGUGAAGAAAUUUCAAAUAAAAGUUCAAGAACAAGCCUCAACGGCCCUUGAAGAAAUUUCAAACGAAAGUUCAAGAACAAGCCUCAACGGCCCUUGAAGAAAUUUCAAGCCCAAGUCAAGAUCAAGCCUCAACGGCCCUUGAAGAAAUCUCCAGCCCAAUUCAAGAUCAAGCCUCGACGGCACUUGGAUCGACAUCUACAGUAAGGGACUUCAAAACGCAUCUCCUACACGUGACAAGCACAUGUAUACGACGUGCCUUGAAGUGGGGGCAUUUGUAGACAUCGAAAUUUCGGUAAAUAAAUGUUGACCGAUAAAUCAAAGUGUCAACGCUCAUGUAUUACAUAAAUUUUACACGUAGCGUAUGACUCAACGAAAAUUGAAAUGAGUUGGAAAAGUCAUCAAACAGGACACGUGUCAACACAUGGCAGAAACGACUUAUUUCAUCUGGAAUAUUAUAUUCAAAAUUAGGCCUUGAAAAAUUCUAUAAAUAGAAGGCUAAUUCAUUCAUUUGGAACCAAUUGAUACUACACCUUGAAGCUCUGAAGCUCUGAAACUCCGAAGCUCUCAAGCAUCUAGGUUCCCGAAGAAUCAAGAAAGCCUUCUUCGUUCUUCGUUCAUCAUCCGUUCUUCCAAGAUCAAGCCCCGACGGCCCUUGGAUCAACAAUCAUCCACCUUCAAAGAUCAAGCCCACGACCCCUUGAAGAAACUUCCAACAGUUCAUCCAAGAUCAAGCCCCAACGGCCCUUUGGAUCAACAACGUUCAACAAAUCCACACAUCCAACCGUUCUUCAAGAUCAAGCCCAAAAGCCCUUGAAGAUCCGUUCAUCACCGUUAUUCAAGAUCAAGCCUUAACGGCCCUUGAAGAAACACUUAUCCUCAAGAUCAAGCUCCAACGGCUCUUUGAAGAUCCGCUCAAAUCCACCUUCAAAGAUCAAACCCAUGGCCCCCUUGAAGAAACUUCCAACAGUUCAUCCAAGAUCAAGCCUCAACGGCCCUUGGAUCAACGAAACAUCCACAAAUCAAUACCUUACGGAGAUCGAAUCAGAGGAUCAAAUUUGAGAGAGAUUGUAACCCAAAAUAAAAAAAUACAAAUAUUUGUUUGUGCACGUCGUUCUUGUCUCUUUCGUUUCAGGAAUUUUCCGUGUUCACAAUAAAAUCUACCUAUUUUUUUUUAUAUAUAAUUCAUUCAAUCUUUUUUCUAAUUCAUUUUUUAAAUUUAUGUGGGUACAUUCUAUUUCUUUGAUUUGAGAAUGAAUUCAUGUCAAGUUUAAUAGAAGAAAUUUAAUAUGUACCCAUGUUUUGGAGCAAUAAUUUUUUUGUUAGUUUUAAUGAACGUACCCAUGUAUGUAUGUGUAUGUAUGUAUGUACACACACAAAAUAUAUUGGAGAGUAUAAUUUAUCUUUAAUAUUUUUUUAUCCCAUAAAUUAUAGGUUUUAUUUAAAAUCUCAUUAAUAUAAAUAACUACAAAUUUCAUUUUUAAUUUAAAAAUAAAAUAACCUACAUAGAAAUACAUUAUUACAUUAAUGUCAAGGACUUCGAUCAAAAACGGAAAAUCACAAAAGUUUCAGUAAAAAAACAUUGAUAAUUAGGGACCGCAUCCAAAGUCUCCCAAAAUUUAAUGACCGAGGCAAUAGCGGAUUCAAAAUUUAAACUUUGGCUCUUUUAAUUUAAAAACCUAAAUUUUGAAAAUAAAAAUUUUAGCGCGCGAACAAAUUUCAGUUGAUUCACGGAGACAUUUCAUCGAACACUUAGUGAGCUUGUUAUCGUCAGAUGAACUAUAUUAUGAAUAUGUUAACAGAUAUUGACAUUUGCUGAAGCUAUAUGACAAGUGCUAUGGAUAGCAUUUGUAGAAUAUUAUUGACGCAACCUACCGAGUACUAUCAAGAUAUGCUUAGAGGGGAUUACAUCAAAUACUGAUCCCAAUGUGCAUCUGCCCUUGAACUAACAUGGUCAUUUUAUUUUGGAUGGAAAAUUAAAUAGAAAUUGGAUGUCAAAGAUCUUCGGCCAACUUUGUAUAACUUGUAUCAAAAGCACUGUCAAAUAUACUUUACAAGAAAAUGAACAUAAAUCAAAUAAUCCAUAUCAUUAACAAUACAAGACCCACACAUUAAACUAUUAGAAAUAUCAUAUAGCACACAACUAAAGCAACUGUAUCAGACAACUCUUGCAUUUAUAAUUUGUUUUAGGUUACAAGACUAUAUUUCGUCUACUUAAGCCUCAACGAUGACCUUCCCGGUUGCAUGUCCAUCCAUACUCUUAGCCCAUGCAUCUUCAGCCUUGCUCAGAGGAUGCGUCGAGUCGAUUACCGUCUUGAGCUUUCCUUCCUUCACCAACUUAACAAGAUACUCAAGGUUCUCAGCCUUGACAUCAGCAAACAGCGGCACCAGCCGCUUCUUCGAGAAGGAGAGUUUCUUCAGAGCAAAAGUAAGAAAGGCACUUGGACCGGGAGUGAUUGCUAUGACCUUCCCGUUGGAACUCAAAUUAGGCUCAAAAGUUGACCAGGGAACACCGGUACUGGUUGUGCAGUGGACCACGGCAUCAUAUUUCCGACCAGAUGGGCUCUUCAGAGCUGCUCCUUCUGGGGUCUUGUAGUCAAGAACCUCAUCUGCCCCUAAGCUCUUGACAAAUUCAACGUUACGAGCUCCACAAGUGGCCGUAACAUGAGCAUUACCGAGCUUGGCUAAUUGGACUGCAUACUGACCCACACCGCCAGAGGCAGCAGUAAUCAAUAUGUUCUUUUGCUGGCCACUUCCGUCAAGCUUGACCCGAGCAGCUUGCGUGAGACAUUGGUGAGCUGUGACGCCAGCAAUAGGUAAGCCUGCAGCUUCAGCUGCUGAAACUUCUGGUGGCCUGGCCGCUGUCAUGUUCUCAUUAGCUGUGGCGUACUCAGCCAGUCCGCCUCCAAUCUAUCCAUAUGUAAGAUGACAACAGAAAAUUGAGGCAUAGAUAUAACAAACGAGAUCUAAAUGCUAAACUUCUUAUAUGCACAAUGAGCUAUUCAAAAAGGGGAAAAAGUAACCAAAGGAUUAAGAUGAACACUCACAGCAGCGGUCAGAUAUGCCACAACUUUGUCGCCCGGUUUGAACUUUUGGACGCCCUCUCCAACUUUUACAACCUCUCCAGCAACAUCAGUAACUAUUUUCAAUGAUAUCAUUACACGAUGUCAACAAACCAACCUACCAGCCUAAGACUCUCAGACAUGAAUGCAUAAACCACAAAACAACUCGUCUCGCAAUAUAGGAGCAAUAUCUCUCCAUUUUAAAGUCAAAGCAUAAAUUUGUUUCAUAAUCCAGCUAAUUUAUCUACCUCAAAACUAUCCAAAUACUUCAAUGUAUGAUGAGUGUUUUAUUAACAACAUGAACUAAUCUGUAACCAUUAUGCCCAAUUCUUUAAAGAGGGCAAUCUCUUUGGGACACCGAGUAGAGCAUGAUUUUGUUUCAAACGCCGUAGUAAUUAAUCAACAUUAGGUAGCUUUAUUAAUCAGUUCAAUGUUGUCGUAAUUAAUCAAAUUUAGGUAACUUUACUUUAUCAUCAGUACAUUGCCUGGCCUGCGGCAGUUUAUAUGACACGAAUUGAUUUAUGAAGGAUCCUCAAACGUUAAUUGACUGGAACAGGGUGAUUAUUGAAGAAUUUAACAAACCUAAGUAACUAAACUUCACCAAAUUCUACAGGCAGUGAAAGAAAAUUUGCAAAACAAGCACUGCAUAGUCAUAUGAGGAAAACUUUUGAAAAGGAGGCAGGUAAAAAUCUCGAGUCUUUAGUUAUUGUCGAGAGAUUUUUCAAGGUGCCCAAAACACAGGGUGGAAGAUCACAUGUUAUUAUACAAUUGGAGGAAAGUUUUUUUUUCUUUUCAAAGUGUUGAAAUGUGAUGUUCCGUCCUGUGUUUCAAACACACUAAAAAAUAUGUCGUUAUUGUCAUUGUAUAAACAGUUUUUACCAACAUCAACUUCGAAUACUUUGAACAGGUAAAAUACACUAGUACAAAGGCCUUGUUUGGCUUCGAGGGCUGGACAUGAAUAAAAAUGGAUGUCAAACUUUUCAAAUGUUUUGUAAGUUUAAGGUAAAAGAUGGGUUAUUCAAGUAGGAAACCUAAUCAAUUUUUUAACUUCAACUGAAACAACAUUUGGGAGUUGUUGACGUGCAUUUCUCUUUUAUAACAUACAUUAGAAUGUAGAGUUAUCCCUUUCAAGUUUCAACUCAAUCUUAGAUACCAAAUAAAACAGGUCAAAGUUCCUACCAAGGUGAUCAACUUGAUUACUUACCAGGUAUAUGAGGAAAUUUUUUGGGCAAAAAAGGUCGUGCCACGCCUUUCUGAAUUUUCCAAUCCAGUGGGUUUAUACUAGCUGCUUCCAAUUUCAGCAAAACCUCGCCUUUCUUCGGAGUGGGUAUUGGAACCUCUGCAUGCUGCAACAAAUUUCAUAAAUAAAAUACAGAUACAAAAAUUAUAAAACUCUACUUUUUUUUCCGUUAUAGAACUCGAGUUUUUUUGUUUCAAGCCAACGAACAUUGAGCACUUCGUAAAAAAAAAAAAAAAGAAAGGGAAAAAUGUAACAGAUAAAGAAAAAGGAACCUGUAAACCAGAAGCUCCUCCACCAUAGCGGACGUACUGCACCGCAUGCAUAAGCUUGGGCGCCAUGCCUGCCAUGCAAACCCUAGUGGGAACUGUUAAAAUAUUAAUGUUAAGUUGCUAUUUAUAUCAAUCUCUAUACGUAAAGCCAGCAGGCCAAUAUAUACAACCAGAACCAGGACAUGCUUGUUGAGAAAAGUCAGAUAGAUGAAAAGUCAAGCCUUGAAGAAGAAGAAGUUGGAAGUCAGAAUUUGCAACUCUCUACAAUAAAAGGUGAUGAAAAGAAAAUUCACAAGUGAGAAAGUACGAACUGAAAACUCUCCACCACCACACAAACGACGGCAUUAGCUGUGUAGGGGGCCAUAUGAUCAGAGAGGCGGAACGAAGAGUCGCCUCCCGUGUGGUGAGAGAAAAGUCUUCACCAAAUAAAAGCUUGUAAAAGAGAAUUUUGGCACGGAACAAUCAGAAUCUAUUAACAAGAAAAUGUGAACAUUAGAUCCCAAACCUUAUCAUUUACAAUACAAGACCUACACAUCACUGGAAGAUAUAACAAAUGACACAACUCUAGAUAAGUGCAUAAUGUUUGCAUAUCCCAUUAAAAACCACUAAGAUGUAUCUUGUCUACUUAAGGCUCGACAAUAAUCUUCCCAGUCGCAUGUCUAUCGAUACUCUUAGCCCAAGCGUCUUCAGCCUUGCUCAGAGGAUGUGUCGAGUCGAUCACUGUCUUGAGCUUUCCUUCAUUGACCAACGAAACUGGAUACUCCAAGUUGUUGAGGAAAAUUAGAGUACACAACCCUAACACAAAUAUUGGAGAGACAAAACAAGUAAACAAAUUAUUUGUAUUACACUCACAGAAUAUUACAACACAACAACUAUCAAGGGCAUAACUUAGAAGCUAUGACACUCUCUUUUUCUAAAGACACACUCUAGACCACUCACACUCUUCACAAAACUACUCACUCACAAGGCUUCUCACUUUCUUACUUAGCUCUCUCUUAGUUUCUAGUUUCCUCUCUUACUUUCUUACUUCAUUACUACUUACUUUUCUUACUUUCCACCAUUACAUAUUUAUAGGCUUGCUAAACCGACUUACUAAGGGGGUGGUUUGAGAGUGAGGUGCUUAAAAAAAAAGCACCCAUGAAAAAAAGCUGUGAGGGUUUUAGGUGUUUGGUAAACUGAAAAAAAAUGGCUUAUUUUGGAAGCUGCUGUGAGAAUAAGCUGAAAUCAAAGGAAAAAGCUGAAGCUGCUAUUUGCAGCUUUGGAAAACUGGUUUUUUUUUCAAAGCACACGGAGCUACAGUGCUCCUUUAAUGAAAAGACCCACUAUCAGACUUUUUUUUUUUUCCAAAAGCACUUUUACAAAAAAGUUUACCAAACACUCUGCUGAUUUAUUUCACAACCGCUUAUUCUCACAGUAGCUUUUUUUUCAAAGUACAGCAAUACCAAACCAGUCAUAAAUCGGUGAAAUGGACUCAUUUCAUCCUAGCCAUUGUUCUAGACUUUUCUACAAACAGCCCACUGACAUGGGCUGUGUUUAUGACCACACAUUUGUUACAAUAGCUAGAAAAAGAGAGUGUCAUAACUUUUUAAGCUAUGUGGUCUAGCUUAUGUAUGCUUUUUACUUUGAUUUUUCACCAUGGGGUAAACUUUAUUCUUUGGGCUCUUUGGGCUCGUGUUGUACUUUUAACACAAGUUCUCAGCCUAAUUCAAGAGCAGUGGCACCAGCUGCUUCUUUGAGAAGGUGAGCUUCUUCAGAGCAAAAGUAACCAAGGCACUUGACCUUCCCGCUGGCACUCAAAUUAGGCUCAAAAGUUGACCAGGGAAUGCACAGUGGACCACAGCACCAUAUUUCCGACCGGAUGGGCUAUUCAGAGGAGCUGCUCCUUCUGGGGUCUUGUAAUCAAGGACCUCAUCUAUCCGUAAGCCUCUUGACAAAUUCAAUGUUAGAAGCUCCACAAGUGGCUAACAUGAGUGUUUCCGAGCUUUGCUAGUUGGACUGCAUACUGACCCACACCACCUGAUGCAGCAGUAAUAAAAAAGCUCUUUUGCUGGCCACUUCCGUCGAGCUUGACCCCUGCAUUGCGUGAGACUGGUGAGCUGUGAGACCAGCAAUAGGUAACCCUGCAGCUUCAGCAUACUCGGCCAGUCCACCUCCCUUUUAUAUGGUAACAAAGUGAGGCACUGGUGAUAGCAGUGACAAACACAUGGAGACCGAACUUAACCAAAGGAAUAAAAUGAACAGGUACAGCUUGGGAAAGAUAUGCCACAACUUUAAUUGUCGCCCGGUUUGAACUUUUGGGUCCCUUCCAACUUCUACAACCUCUAGCUCCAGCAACAUCAGUAACUGUUUUCAAUAACAUCAUUGGUCAAUGUCAACAAACCAACUUACCAGACUCACAGACAUGAAUGCAUAAACCACAAAACAACUCAACUCGCAAUAAACACACAGCGUAUGCUUUAUGUGUGUUUAUUGUUCGCCUAUUUGUAGACUUAAAAGAGUUUAAGUUUAUAGACUUCAAGAGUUUUUCAUAUUCACAUCGAUAAGUAACUCCAAUGUAUAGGUAUUACACAUUGGCCCCAAGUAAACAGCCAAACAAUUAACAUAUUUACAAUAAUAACCCUUGGAUUAGUCUACCAAAACAAAGCUUGUAAAAGAUAAAUGUUUGCAGGAAAGUAUCAGAAUUAGCGUAUUGACAGGAAAAUGUGAACAUUAGAUCCAAACCGUAUCAGUUGCAAUACAAGACUGAAGACCAACACAUCAUUGGAAGACAUAACAUAAGGCGCACAACCACCUGUAUGAGAUAACUCUUGUUUAAGUACAUGAAGAUAUAGUUUACAUUCCAUUAAAAAUAUCAGUAUGAUGUUACAUCUUGUCUACUUAAGGCUCGACGAUGAUCUUCCCGGUCGCAUGUCCACUGAUACUGUUAGCCCAAGCAUCUUCAGCCUUGCUCAGAGGAUAUGUCGAAUCAAUCACUGUCCUGAGCUUUCCUUCCUUCACCAACUUAACGAGAUACUCCAGGUUCUCAGCCUUGGCAUUCAUGAGCAGCGGCACCAGCUGCUUCUUUGAGAAGGUGAGUUUCUUCAGAGCAAAAGUAACCAAGGCACUUGGACCGGGAGUAAUGUCUAUCACCUUCCCGUUGGCGCUCAAAUUAGGCUCAAAAGUUGACCAGGGAAUGCCGGUUGCACAGUGGACCACGGCAUCAUAUUUCCGACCAGAUGGGCUAUUCAGAGCUGCUCCUUCUGGGGUCUUGUAGUCAAGAACCUCAUCUGCCCCUAAGCUCUUGACAAAUUCAAUGUUCCGAGCUCCACAAGUAGCUGUAACAUGCGUGUUUCCAAGCUUUGCUAGUUGGACUGCAUAUUGACCCACACCACCAGAGGCAGCAGUAAUCAGUAUGUUCUUUUGCUGGCCGCUUCCGUCCAGCUUGACCCCAGCAGCCUGCGUGAGACACUGGUGAGCUGUGAGGCCAGCAACAGGUAAGCCUGCACCUUCAGCUGCUGAUACUUCAGGUGGCCUGGUCACUGUCAAGUUCUCAGUAGCUGCAGCGUACUUGGCCAGUCCACCUCCCUUUUAUACGACAACAAAGAAAAGUGAGCCACAGAUGAUAGCAGUGACAAACAAAUGAAGAUAGGAUUUAACCAAAGGAAUAAAACGAAAACUUACAGCUUGGGAAAGAUAUGCCACAACUUUGUCGCCAGGUUUGAACUUUUGGACCCCCUGUCCAACUUCUACAACCUCUCCAGCAACAUCAGUAACUGUUUUCAACAAUAUCAUUAGCCAAUGUCAACAAACAAGAGUGUACAAACCACAAAACAACUCGUCUUGCAAUAUAGGAGCAUAAUUUGUUUCAGAAUGUUGCUAAUUUAUCUACCUCACAACUCUCCCCAACAACACGAAACUGAUCAAAUUCCGGUAAAUGUAUCAAUCAGUUCAACGCUGUAGUACUUAAUCAAACACCGGGAAAAACAGAAAUUACCGGGUGUAUAAGGGAAUUUGCGGGGCAAAAAAGGCCGCAACAUGCCUUUCUGAAUUUUCCAAUCAAUUGGGUUUAUACUGGCUGCUUCCAGUUUCAGCAAAACCUCGCCUUUCGUCGGAGGGGGGAUCGGAACCUCUACAUGCUGCAACAACCAUACAAUUUUGCAUAAACAAUUUAUUAAGGUAGCUCUCACAUGUACUACUUUCUCCAUGGAUUUUUAUUGCCCUUCAAAAUCAAGGGCACAUAUUCAAUCAACAUUGCAGCAUUUUCUCAAGAGUUAUCAUUCAUCUCUUCGGUUUUUAUUUUAUUUAUUUGGGAUUUCAGAGCCUAAUUAUACAAGUAAUACAUUUUCUUUUUACACCGAAGAGUAUUGAGCAUUAAUGAAAUCCCAGAAGCAAAAAUCACCAAUAAAAUAAGAAUAAAAGACAUGAGAAAUCUACAAAAUAAUGUUUUUACAGAAAAAUAGAGAAUAAAAAAGAAGGCGACAAUCGUAAAGAAAGAACCUUUAAACCAGAAGCUCCUCCGCCAUAGCCGUCGUACUGAACCGCAUGCAUAAGCUUCGACGCCAUUGCUGCCAUCCCCUGAGUCGGCAGAGAGAUAGAGAGGGGCGACAGAGAGUGCGUGUGUGUUUUCCUAGAUUCUUUGCGGGAGCGGCUUUAGACGUCUUGUAUACCAGACGUGGACGCACAGCAAGUUGCCAAGUGUUAUAUUAUUGUGAAUGACGGAAAUAACCUUUUAUUUUAUUAUAUUGAUGUUUCGGUUUUCGAUUUUUCUCGAUUUUUUUAUUACCAAAAUAUAAAAUUUGGUGUUUUAAGAAAAGAGAUUGUUAUUGGUACUUUAAAAAUCUAAUUUUGCACUCCAAACUUUCUAUAAUUAGAAAGAAAAAAACGCUUGUGAGGAGUGUAGAAUGAGAUUUAUGAAAUGUCCCUUAAGAAAUUCUAUGUAAUUCAAUGAAAUUAUAUGUAAUUAAAUAUUGAUCACUUAUCGAUAAAAAAGUAAAAACGAAGUCAAAUAUAUAUUGACCUUAAAUCGUUCAAAUACUAAACCAUUGUAUCCCACUUUUUCAGGGCCUAAAAAAGUGAGUAAUAUUAUUCAUACUAUAUUUUUGUACUACAUUUUCAUAUCAUCUUAAGUGGCAUUUGAGGUAAACAGUUUAUUUCUUGAAAAAUUAUGAUAAAAAAAUUGUAUGCGGAGAUUUAUCGAAAAAAAGAAAAUUGUAUGCAAAGAGUACUGACUUUUUAAUAUAGUAAGCUAACUACAAUUUACAUCAUAAUUUUACAAUUGUAUCAAUUUACAUCUUUUGAAUAUUUGAAUGUACUAAUAUCCAUUAAGUUGAUGAGUUUUUCAAUCAAUGUGGUGCAUAUAUAACUUACAAAUCAUCGCAAUUACGGAUUUCAUAAUUACCAUGUCAUCAACUUGAUGAAGAUUUAAACACUAACAAAAUGGUACAAGUCAAAAUCUUAGGGGGCAAUACGAAAAAAAUAUAGAGGGUGUAAAAUAUAUAUAGCCAUAAUAUAAUAGGAUGUAUGGGAUGCACACCCAACAAUACUUACUAUAAAAUGUACUUAACAAUAAAAUUAACAUUAAUUUAUAUCCAUACCUUAUCAUUUACAAUACAAACACCCACACAUCAAUGGGAGAUAAAAUAAAGCACACAUGAAAUUUACAUACCACUUAAGAAACACUAAGAUGUAUAUACAUGGGUAAUGCUAUCCACACACCUUUAUUUACUUUUCACAUACCCCUCUCAAUUUUCAACUGUCUAGUCGAGUGAAUUGAAGGUGAUCAAAAGACAGAAAUUAACAAAUGGCAUGUGAAUAGAACCACCCUGUCUCUUGUCUACUUAAGGCUCGACAAUAAUCUUUCCAGUCGCGUGUCCAUCCAUACUCCUAGCCCAAGCAUCUUCAGCCUUGCUCAGAGAAUACGUCGAGUCGAUUACCGUCUUGAGCUUUCCUUCCUUCACCAACUUAACAAGAUACUCCAAGUUCUCAGCCUUGACAUUCAGAAACAGUGGCACCAGCUGCUUCUUCGAGAAUGUGAGUUUCUUCAGUGCAAAAGUAGCAAAGGCACUUGGACUGGGAGUGAUGUCUAUUACCUUCCCGUUGGUACUCAAAUUAGGCUCAAAAGUUGACCAGGGGAUGCCAGUUGCGCAGUGGACCACAACAUCAUAUUUCCGACCAGAUGGGCUAGUCAGAGCUGCUCCUUCUGGGGUCUUGUAGUCAAGAACCUCAUCUGCCCCUAAGCUCUGGACAAAUUCAAUGUUACGAGCUCCACACGUGGCUGUAAC
RNAcentral lists this long non-coding RNA (81141 nucleotides) under Malus domestica (apple). RNAcentral's name for it is "long non-coding RNA (MDOM_LNC004983)". The record is from RNAcentral. Lineage: Eukaryota; Viridiplantae; Streptophyta; Magnoliopsida; Rosales; Rosaceae.